UUUUUUUUUUUCUUCUUUGUUCUUUUUUGACUCACCGGCCAAAUGAAAAGUCCUGUUGGCUUUCCAUUGACUAGCAAAAUAAUCCAAAAUUAUUCGGACCAUAAAAGAAAAGUACAAAAGAAUAUUUGCGUGAGUGAGUCUUAAAUUAAGGAAGAUAAAGUUAUUGACGAUGUGAAUGCGAUAGUCUAAAUUGAAUUGAAGAGACUCUAUAAUAAAAGGAGACUUUUUAUGGGAUUUUAUAGUUGCUACCUAAUUUAUCUUCUUUUUUUUAUCCAAUGAGAAAAAAAAAAACGAUGUUGUAUCUAAAUAAUCAACGAGAUCAAGCAUGGAAAUUAUUAAAGAUAAGUACUAUGCUGUGUACGAUCCUAGUACUAUUAGUCAACCGCAUUUAAUUGAUCAAGUAGGAAUCACAUUAAAAAAUGCACGAGAAAACAUUGACAAAGAAAGAUUGCCCAUCUUGAUUAAUUUUCUAUAUAGCAUAUAAAUAUUGCCCGAACUGGACUUUGUCUAUCUUCUUUAUCAAGCUGUUCUACUAUUUUCCCUAAAUCCUAAACCCUGAAUUGGAUAGAAAGCUCAAACAAAUGAUUUUGAGUAUGAAUAAUUCUGAAUAUGCUAAAAUUUGUGUAUGGGGAUUAUGCACUUAAUCGUAUGGUAACAAUUGAAUAUAACUCAUCUAUAUGUACUAGGAUAGCAAAUUGCAAAUGGGAUGAUCUUUCGAGUUUAACGUCAUUUCUUGCCAUUUGUCUUAGUUGGUAAUAACGGAGCCCUUCUCUCCCAUAAGAUCAUUAAUUAUUGCCCCUCCUCCUUAUCCUCUCUCAUUUAAUUGUAAGUCAUUCUAUUCAAGUAAUAUUAUUCAUUUAAAUAAAAUAAUGUGAUUUUCCAUAUUUUACUUUAUUCGCAAAAGCUUCUAGUGUUGUAUGUGCAUUUGACAAAUAAUAUAUGGUUGAAAGAUCUAACGCGUUGCCAACUCAGCGUUUUUAGUCUUUUUCUUAGGCUCAAGUUUGUUGUCAUUCAGAUUGCUACAUUCAUGAAGCAAUAUUCUUAUUGUAAAUAAUGUAUUCAUCUUUUUGUAGCAAUAUUCUUAUUGUCAUAAUCUCUCUCUUUGUUGUAACGAUAGAAGUGCUGAAACAUUAAUAAUUGAAAUUUAAGUGUUGACAAAUAUAGGCACGGAAAAUGGGGAAAAAAAGUUGUUUGAUAACGAUGACUAGAUCUUACUAAUUUCUUAGUAUAUAUAGGCUUACGAUCAUUAUUGGUAUCUUGACUCUUGAAAGAAGAAUUAAUGUCUUCAAAUUUAAAGAAUGUGGAGAAUUCGAAGACCAUGGAAUGUGGCAAUCGGAAUUUUUGACUUUCAAUACUAGCAUUUUAGAUGGUUUUCUGUGAUUGUUAUUACCCUGAGUCUGAUGAGUUAAGCUUAAAAUGAUAUAUGUUGACAUGUAUGUCGAUGGUAUUGAGUGACGGUAAUAAUUUUAUCAUUAUAUUAGUUUUAGUCCUCAAAUUACAUAUUUAAUGAUAUUCAAGUUUUAAAUUUACUAAAUUGGGAUUUUUCCUAGCAUCCAGUAUCUUUCACUAUUUGGUGCGUUCAAAAUUUUUUCAGAUUUAUCAAUUUUUAGAACCGACAUUGUUUUCCUUGUUUUUGUAAUGAUUUACUAGAUAUCUUGGUAACUUAACAAAACAUCACCUAUUUCAACUUUAACUCAUUAAUCCCUUAAUGACUCGUUCAUUUCACUUGGACAAGAAGAACUCUCUCAAAAUAUCUCCUAUUGGCUACUCUCUUUACCACUUGAAGCUUUUGUAUUGCUACACCAAUCUUUCUACCUACACUUAGCAUAAGGCCAUCAUUACUUCAACCUUGGUUAUUUGCCCUGGCAAAUCAUAUGCGACCAUGUGUAAGAUUUUUUUAUUAUAUACCAUCCGAUCUUCACAAUGUGUCUUUUAAACUCAAAGUCAUCACUUCAUUUGAACUUGGUUACUCGAUCUCAUCUCUCUUGGCUAUAUAAAUGGGUCUUCGAGCUUUAAAGUAGAAGUCCCCCACCUCACUAACUUCCAAUUUCCAGCUUUCUUCGUCUACUUUCGUUUUCAAAUCUUGCAAGUAAAAGCGAAGGUCCACACACUUGUGUUAUUAAAGUUUUUAUCUCAAAUCUUUCAAGAAUGGAAAAGGUAAAUUAUUGGAUUCCACUACUUUCUACUAAUGGUUUUGUCAUUUUAAAGACAAAAAUCGUUAACUUUCUAUUUUACUUAAUUUACUCAAAGGCAAUUAAGGCUUUGAGAUACUCAAGUCUUUACUAAGGUAAGUGAAAUCUCUAGAAGUGAGAUUACGUUGAUCUACUUAGUACUCCUAACUUGGUUAGUUGAUGUUUGCUACUUAAGUUUGAAUUUGACAAAAAGGAUGAGUUAGGGCCUGUUUGUUAAAAAAAAUUUGAUGUUCCUUGGAACAAAAAUUUCUAUCCUUUUGUUCCAAGGAACAAAAAAAGAAUAGGAAGGUGUUUGGUAAAAAAUUUGUUCUUGAGAACAAAAAAUUUAUUUUUUUGUUCCCGGGAAUAGAUUUGGAACAGAAACAAAAAGUAGAAAAAAGUAGCUUCUUGUUCCCGGAAACAAUUUCUAGAAUCAAUUUUUCUCUCUCUUCUUUUUUCUUCUUCUCUUUCUUUUCUUCUUCUUCUUCUUCCUUUUGGUUGGUUGCCAGCCUUGGCCAUGAUCGGCGCCGGCAACCAACCAAACAAGGGCUGAUGACCUUGCCGGAGCCUUGCCAACCCCUAGAGACGCCAAGCCACAGUAAGGCUCGUUGGCCCAAGCCUCGCUGUGGCUGGCCGAGGCCGAGGCUCACCGUGGCUAAGCUGGCCUUCAGCGAGCUUGCCGGACCUCGCCCAGCUGGUUGCCAGCCAAAAAGAAAAAGAAAAAGGAAAAAAAUAAGAAAAUAUAAUAAAAGAAUUUAAAAAAAUUAAAAGAAAUAAAAAAAAUCUAAGAAUCCUACCAAACAUAUUUCUAUCCCGAGAAUAGAAAUUUAGCGAAGUUACCAAACCCAUUCUUUUGCUUAGAAAUUAUUCUCAAGAAUAGAAUCACAAAAAAUUAUUUCUCAUAAAAAAUUGUUCCCUGGAACAAAUGGUUACCAAACGCGCCCUUAGCCUCCAUAAUGGCGUGCUGAGAUAUUAUGAUGAUUUGACUCAUCUUAGUGAGUUCUUUUAUGUGUGAAUGUGAUUAGUUGUCUUCUGUGAGAUGCGGUAUGGGUGAGGUAGCAUGAUUGGAUGGCAAAAAUGUGAAUUUGGCAAAACUAGGCUUAAAAGGGCUGCUUCUAUAAAAAUUUUACUUGCCAUUGUUGAUCAUAUUCACCUUAGACUCACCAAUCGUUGAUCAUAUUUACCUUAAUACUCACUAUUAUAUUUACCAUAUACUACUCACUAGUUUAUUCACUUGUCUGAUACUGAAUAUAUUCAUUUGCUUGAGUGUAUUCACUUACUGAGUGUAUCCACUUUCUAAGUAUGGUCACUCACUGUUUAUAUUCAAUUGCUAAGUAUCACCACAUACUAUUCACAUCCACUUUCUCAGUAUGACCGCUUACUAUUUAUAUUUACUUAUUGAGAAUCACCACAUACUGCUCACAUCCACUUUCUAGCUUGCCAUUAUCAUGUGAUCAUUGAAAGACAUGAUAAUAUUUGAAAAGAAGUAAGCAUGUGACUAUCAUUACCUACGUAUGUAAUCAUCAAAAGGAUAAGGCAAUGAUAUGUAUGAAAAGAUAUUGUGUAUUGGAUGUUGAUUAUUGAAAUGAGUGUUGAUUUCAUUGUUGAUGUAAGGAAGAUCAUACAUUUAUAAUGUUAAUAUAUGCACCAUUGUUAUGUGAUUAAAUAAGGAAAGUAUAACAUAUAUAUUUUCGUCGCCUAAAUAUAAUGAUGACGACACCCUGUGUAUCAAGAUGUCUCGGGAGUCAAGAUGCCCUAUGUGUUGAGAUGCCUCGAAAUUGAAAUGUCCCAUGUGUUGGGAAGCCCCAAGAGUAUUCGGUAGAAGAAAUAAAGAAUUUAAUACAUAUAUUUGUGCAUAUACAAUUACAUAUAGGCACACAUGAAAGAAGUAGACGUGCAUCAUAAUAUGUUAUGCCAUCCGCUUGUAAAUGUGUGAAUAAUCUUAUGUAAUGAUGCUAUUGGUGGUUUCCAUCAGUAUAUCAUGAUAAAAGAAGAUAAUGCAUAUACUUAUGCACUUGUCAUUCAAGGUUAUUUUGUGGUACUUUGAACUAAUGUUGUUUGAUUAUGCUAGGUUGAGUUGUAAGGUGAUAUCGUAUCUUAAAUUUAGAGAUUUCAUUUACUAGAUUUUGACUCACCCCUUAUUUUUUCAGUUUUGUAGGAUGGAACACCCUGCCACUACCGUUGGGAGUUCUUGUAUAUUUUGAUUGUGAAUACCUAUACUUAUACCUAGAUUGACAAUAGUAUGUACCAAGUGUUGUUCCACCUUGUGGGUUGACGGGGAGUUUGUUGGACCACUUUGGGGUUUUCUAUGGUCCCCUUGGUUUUGGCAGUGUUUGCUUGUUGAUGGGCAAGGCUGUCGAUAUGUAGUGAAUAACUUGAUCUCGGGGGUGUUUGGGAGGGGUGGGGGGGGGGGGGGGUGUUGGGCAUAGGACGAUGAUGGUGAUAGGUGACCCCGACCCUUCCCAAAAUUUACGUUUUGUAGUUGUGUUUUGCUUAAAGGAGAAGUAUAUGUAAAACCUCGUGCAAUGUCUUGUGUGGGAUGUUGUUGAAAAUUUUUGUUGUGCUUUCCCAUACUAUUAAUAUUUAAAUGAUAAAAUUAGAAAGGACACGUCCCACGUCACAUUUUUGGGCGUCACAUAGAGAUCAAGAAAACCUCGUUGAAUCAAGCUUCCAAACCCCAUAGUCUUCCUCAACACACAUUGAAGUCUCGUCGGAUUAAAGUUUCGUCGAAUCAAGCUUCCCAAGCCCCAGAGUCUUCAUCAAUAUCAUCGAGGUUUCGCCUGAUCACGCUCCAAAACUAUGUUGUCUUUGUCAUUGUUCAUCUAGAUUCAAUCAAAUCAAAGCUUCAAAGCCCCCACGAUUUCAAGAAAUCAAGCUAUCUAUCAUUUUAUUCAAGAUCAAUUGCUUAGAAAUUCAAUUGUGAAACUGUAGAUUCUAUCCACUUCAUUCAAUAUUGAUAAAUUUGGCACCACCUUUUCUUUUAUGUAAUUUAGCCUCAAAAUUUGUUCGUGUUCAGUUAUAUAUAUGUAGUCACUAUAACAUCAUUUUGACUCAAUUUUCUUCGUCGGUUUUUUUUCUUUCCCUUUUACACUUUUAUAUCUUAUGGAAUUCCAUGGAUAGUUCGGGUUAACGACCAUGAAAACAUUAUAUUCAUAAAUCAUAUAUAUUUGGAACAUAAUAAAGAAUGCUUAAAAUGGGUCAUCGCAUUAUGUCCAUGAUUUUAUUUGUAUUGGGUGCUUCAAAAGUCGUUUUUCUUUUCUUUGGUUAGAUAUUUGGCCACAUGGACCUUAUGCCGUAGGUCUAUAAAUAUUUUUGAAUUUCAUGAAUUAGUAAAUGAGACAGUUGUGUGAUGUACUUGUAUUCCACAAGUGAAUCUAAAUUAGCAUCCAAGUUAAAGACUCCAUUUGACAUGGAAAUGAAUAAUUUUAAAAAUAUUUUCCUAAAAAUGAUCGUUUGUACUUUUUACAAAAAUGAAAGAAAGAAAAUUAUUUUUAUCAUCCACACAAAUAUUUAGGUAUAAAUUAUUAUUGAUAAUGAAAAUAUUUUUUAUUAACUAAUAUUUCUAAUGAUGUAUUUUCAUUAUCUACAAAAAUAUUUAGACAAAAUUUGUUGUUAAUAAUGAAAAUAAAAUUAUUAACUAAUUAUUUCAAGUGAUGCAUGCAAUCAUUUUUAUGAAAAUGUUUUCGAAAUUAUUCAUCUUCUGCGAAACAAAUGGAACCUAAAUUAAUCAUCAUUUUCCUAUAGAUAUUGAAAUAUAAUUUUUUUUUUCCAAGUACUAUUGGAAUUGACUUAGGUUGCGAUCUAAUAUAAUAGGAAAGGUACUGUAAAUGGGAUGAUGUGAGUGGGCAACAUUAGAAGCUUCUCCCGGAUAAGCCCACUAAUAUAUUGCCCUCCACCUUAUCCUCCCUUUUUUUUUCAAUUUACCAUCUAAAUGUAACUCAUUUAUAAUUAUAAAUUGUUUUUAUUUACCAAAGUACUUCCAUUUAAACUUUUUCCUAUACUAGUUAGUAGACAAAAGCUUCUAUUGUUUCAUGUGCAUUCGAGAAAUAUGAAAGAUAAUAUGUCAUAAUGGUUGUUUCAGACUUCUAUAAUUUAGUCUUACGUGUAUCCUCUACGAUUAACAAUUCCUUAAAAUAUCGUGGAAUCUGUACUUAUAUUUUAUUUUAAUUCUGUUUGCAAUUAAAUUGUAUUUCAAUUCAUAUAUGUCACAUUUUUUGUUAUAUUUUGCAUGACAAUCUGCGCAAUCCGCGGGUAAAUGUCGGACUUGUCAAAACUCUAUUUACACAAGAUGAUUUGCUACAUUAUUUGGAAAGUUAAUUUUGUGAACUAAUUCUAGAAUGCCCUCCUCGAGUAUCUGGGCUAUCUUGAAGACAGCUUGAUGCUAAAAGUAGUUCACUUUCUGGAUAUUUAUGAACAUUGCGACGUCAUUGAUUACACAGAAACAUACAAAGUCACACAGUGUAAUGACACUUCAUAGUCUCUUGACUUGAGCUAAAUAGUUGGUGGAGUCCGAAACUUUUUUUUUUGCAUCAUCUACAAAUAUAUUUAAGUAUAAAUUGUCAUUUAUAAGGAAAAAUUAUUUAAUUAACUAAUUAUUUCAAGUAAUAUAAAUGAUUAUUUUUUAAUUUUUGUCAAAAUCAUUGAUUUUCAGCAAAAACAAACGGAGUCUAAAGCUCUAAUUCAUUGUCAACUCAGCGUUUUUAGUCUUUUUCUUAGGCUCAAGCAUAUUGUCAUUUAGAUUGCUACAUUCAUGAAGUAUUGACCGUUAUGUUUAUUUCCAAUUAAUUGCCUCCUUAACCUGUGGUAAUAACCACUGGGGGUUCGCCCCAGUGGCCACCCUUCCAACAUGGAAGAGGGAGGUGAGGGGUUCAAAUCCCCACCUCCUCAGGGGGGGAUGGGGGUAGGGACGCGUAAGUUUCGAGAGUGGGUUGCGACUCCCAUGCCCUGCAAGAGGCAGGGCACAAGUGCUACAUUCAUGAAGUAUUGACCGUUAUGUUUAUUUCCAAUUAAUUGCCUCCUUAACCUGUGGUAAUUUAUUUCAUUGGUUUGUUGCCUUCCAUAUUAAUCUCCACUAAGAUGCUAAUCUAUUUAUCUUUUUGUAGCAACACCCUUAUUGCAAUUAUAUCUCUCCUCAUUUUAAUAACUGAAACUCAAGUGUUGACAAUUGUAAGCACCGAAAAUGGAGGGAAAAAAAGUUGUUUGAUAACGAUCACUAGAUCUUUUAAGUUUCGUAUUAUAUAUCUACUUAUGAUGAUCAUUGGUAUCUUGACUCUCGAAAAUCUCGAAAAGAACAAUCAACGUCUUCAAAUUUAAAGAAAACUCGAAGACUUUGAAGAACGCGUAGAUCAACGAAGCCUUGUCGAAUCAAGCUUCCACGUCCUCAUCUUCCUCAACACCAAAGUCUCGUCUAAUCGAACUUCAAAACUGUGUCAUUAUCGUAUAUCAAAGUUAGGUCAAGUCAAGCUUCCAAAGCCCAACAAUCUCCGUCAACAUUAUUGAGGUUUUGCUGGGGCACGCUCCAAAACCUUGUUGUCUUUGUCAUUGUUGCUCUAAAUUCAAUCAGAUCAAAGCUUCAAAGCCCCCAGGACUUCAAGAAAUCAAGCUAUCCAUCCUUUCAUUCAUGAUCCAUUGCUUAGGAAUCCAGGUGUGAAGCUAACAUUGAUUAAUUUGGCACCAAUUUUUAUUUUAUGUAAUUUAGACUCAAAAUUUAUUGGUGAACAGUUGUAUAAAUGUAGUCAAUGUAACAUCAUUUUGACAAAAUUUUGUUCCUUGCUUUAAAAAAAAAUAAAAAUUCUUUCAUAUAGAAUUUCACGGAUAGUUUGGGUUAACGACCAUAGAUACAUUAUAUUCAUAAAUCAUAUGUUUUAAAAUUAAUAAAAGGAUACAUAAAAUGGGUCACCACAUUAGGUUCGCGAGUUUAUUUUGUAUACGGUGCUUCAAAAUUUGAUAAUUUACUUUCAUUUUGCAAAAUCUUAUUUUACCGAGUUGUUUUUCUUUUUUACGUUAGAUAUUUUGCCAUAUGGGCCUUAUGCCUUUGGUCCUCUAUAAAUAUUUUUAAGUUUCAUGAAUUAGUAGUUGAGACGGUUGUGUAAUGUAUUCGUAUUUCACAAGUACAUCUAAAUCAACAUCCAAGUUAAGGCACUGUUUCUUUUUCUUAAUUUUUUUCACGAAUAAUAAAUCACUUGAAAAUAUUUACUUAAAAAAUUUGCUAGCAUCUAUUGAAAAAUGAGUUAACAAAUAAUAUUCUGAUUGUCUACGAAAAUAUUUAGAUAUAAAAUAAUGAAAAUAUUUUGUAGUGACUAAUUAUUUCAAGCGAUAUAUUUUUAUUGUUCAUGAAAAUAUUUAUACAUAUUUUUUUUUAUCAAUAAUGAAAAUAUUUUUCAUUGACUAAUUAUUUCAUUCGACACGAGUGACCAUUUUCAGAAAAAUAUUCUCUAAAUUAUUUAUCUUUUACAAAAUAAACAGAGCCUAAAUCAAUUAAUAUAAUUUUUUAAAAAUAUAAUUGGAAUUUACUUAGGUUGCGAUCUAAUAGGAAAGGUACUGCAAAUGGGAUGAUCUUAGAGUUUUGGAGGUGUCAUUUUUUGGCAUUGUGCUUAGUUGGCAACAUUAGAAGCUUCUCCCCCCUAAAGCCACGAAAUUAUUGCCUUCUCCCUAUCCUCUUUUUUCUUUUUUACCAUUUAAUUGCAACUCAUUUAUAAUUAAAAAUUAUGUUUUUAUUUACCCAAAUACUUCAACUUAAACUUGUUCCUAUGCUAAUUAGUAGAUAAAAGCUUCUAUUGCCUUAUGUGCAUUUGAGAAAUAUGAAAGAUAAUAUGUCAUCAUGGUUGCUUCAGACUUUCAUAAUUUAGUCUUACGUGUACCUUUUAUGAUUAACGAUUCCUUAAAAUAUCGUGGAAUCUCCGCUUAUAGUAUAUUUUAAUUCUGUUUGUGAUUGAAUUGUAUUUUAAUUCAUAUACGCCACAUGACGACCCCGCGAUUCCCGGGCAAACGUUGGACUUGUCAAAGCUCCUAUUUACCCAAAGACGAUUUGCUACAUUAUUUGGAAAGUCAAUUUUGUGAACUAAUGCUAGAAUACCCUCUUCAAGUUUCUGCACUUUCUGGAAGACAGCUUGAUGCUAAAGUAAUUCACAUUGAUGAACAUUGGAACGUCAUUGAUGACGUAGAAACAUACGAAGUCACACAAUGCAAUGACACUUUAAAAGUCCCUUGACUUGAGCAAAGUAGUUGGUGGAGUUUCCGACUAAUUCAUGUCGGGCUUUCUAUCUUAUCCAUAUUGAUGGGCGGACUCACCAGCUUCUAGUGUUCUGAAAGAUUAUCGACGGGAAAGACGUUAGCUAGAGACGGCGAAGCUUAGUUUAUCUUAAGAACGUCGCCGGAGAAGCUUUUUGCUACACAAGCAACUCAAUGAUCAAGACACCGGGUAUUCACUACGGUGCCGAAUAGCACUCGACUUUUUUGGUAAUUCUCCCAUCCAACCGCACGUCCAACUCAAUGUAUAACGAUCCAAAUUUUGAUAGAGCAUGUACCAAUUAAGUAAUGGAGGGUGAGUUCGUGGGCCCUCAUGCUUCAAGAGGUGUUUCUAGUGACCAAUUGCCUAAUUAGCUAAAGCUUUUGCGGCAAAUAAAUCUUGGCAGGGUCUCUUUCGGCUAUAGUUCAGCAAAGGAAUAAUUGCCAAAUCAAAUCCUAAAUAUUUUGUACGGAUGCUAAUUUAGUCAUAAAACUUUUUAUGAAAUUGCAAUGUACUUAAUCGGAUUAAUUUUCACCGGAAAUCACGAAUGUAGAGGUUAAACUUUUUGCUAGUUGUCAACAUGGGAGGUUGCCAUGUUAGCUAUUUUUGGCAAAAAUUAGCUAAAUUGACUACAUUGGCAUUUCACGUAAAGAUUUAGGAUUGAAUUGACAAAAUUAAAGACAAUAAGUUUAUGACAAAUUGAGUAAUUUUCCUAUUCCACAAACCCUAGAAUAUACCACAGAAACACGUGUUGAAUGAGGAACAUUACAUGGCUGUUGUUGUAUGUGUGCCGUGGUAAAUCUAGAACAUCCAAAAGCGAUAGGGUCUCGUGUGCGCCCCUCCAGCCCCCUUGGUUUAGAAUGGACUUAGUAUGCAACACUGAGUUCAUUGAAUAAUUCUCCAUGGCAAUUAAGUGUGAACAUCGCAAUUGAUUCCACGACCUUUGUUUUUUUCUUCUUCUUUUUUUCCGCAUUUGAGACGUCUUUGGUGGUAAAAAAUUGGUUGAUCGGGUUUGGUUGGGGUGAUGGAAAUCGAUGAUGAAACGGACCUGAACAUGGUCAAUUCAAGGAAAGGAGAUUAUAACAAAUUCAGGCACGAAAGUUACAUUGGCUUCCGGCCAUUUAAAUAGAUAAAGCCACCAUUCAAGGUCGAGAAAAAGUCAACAGAGAAGCUUCCGAGACAUUAAAGAAGAAAGGGCAGGCCAAAGCUGAACCUCGAAAAGAAAAGUCCACGGUCAAAUUUGGAACGUACGGGAGAAACAAUGAGUUCAGCCCAACUGAUAAGUUUAUCGCCUCCAAGAACGAAUCAAAACCAUAAUGAAAGGUUACGUGCAUCAAUUUAAUAAUAAUUCCCAUAAUAAUCAUGAUGACGAUGAAGAUUAUGUAAAUAAACAUUUUGGAGGCAUUUGUUAAACAACAUUUUAAUAAAUUGGCCAAAAGCCCCCUAAAACCCUAAACUAUGUUUACUAUGACACAUUUACCCUAAUUUUUAUUAUAUAACACCAAAAAUCCCUAACUUGCACAUGUAUGACACAUUUACCCUCCAUAAAAAAUCUGUUAAUGAGACUAUUAAAAAUUUGCCUACAUUGAUGUUAGAAAGUAUACAGUGUGGACAUGGUGCCAAUAAUAAAAAUAACCUUUCUUAGGUUGACUAAUCAUCUAACAGAAAAGUAAAUAUAUCGCAUAGGUAUAAGUUUGCAUUUUUUUUUAUGUCACAAAAAAAUAGAGUAAAUAUGUCAUGGUGAGCAUAGUUUGGGAGUUUUUGAUAUUAUCAAUGACAAAAAAAAAAAAAAUACUCAGGAUAAAGGUGUCACAAUAGGCAUAAUUUGAGCCUUUUUUUUUAUUACUUUUUCCCUAAAAAAACUCACAGUUUCUAAAGCUUUAUCGUCUGAUGCACGAUUAGUUUUUGGGUAUUGCAUCGGUGGAGAGUUGUGAACCCUUGAGUCGGUCAAAGGAGACAUUGUUAGUCAAUUUGGAGUUUGAAACAAGUUUGUGACCCUGAAAUUUCGGAUCCUGACGACAGUGUUGCUUCCGCAAACUAUUGAGCUCAUCCAAGCAUAGAGUGAGAACCCUUUUCUAUCAGUAUCAAAAAGCGCAAAAAUGGCCAGGAAAGGUUUUGAAAAAUAUUAUAAUUAUAAGAAAGAUUACGACAAAUAUAUACGCAAUUGUUAAAAAAAAGGAGAAAACAUUCGCAUUUUCCCUUCGGAUCCUUUGCCUCAUAUGGUAUUUUCUUUUGAUGCAGUGGGUGAUUGAUUUCAAAACUAAUCUAUUUCGCAUGAGUUGAUAGUUGAGAUGUUGAAUAUACCGAAAUCGGGGACAUGAAUCGAGAUAGAGAAAGCUAAACUUUAGGUACUAUUUGGAAAAUAAUUUGCACGCGGGGUACUCAUUACUUGAGCAUCAAUUCUUGAAUUGGAAAUCAAAUGUCAGAUUCGCUGUGAAAUCAUGACCUUCGUUCGACCAAUGUUUCCAUUUCUCUCGGAUCUGAACUUUGGCUCACAUCUUACUAAGAUCAUGAAAUUGGUAGGGUAUUUCAAGGAUUAGAGUUUACCUUAAACAAAAUAUGGAUUUAUGUCAGUUAUGGACCCAAGAGUUAAGGGGGCGUCGCCUUUGGUACUCAAAGCGUUUCAUCGGCACGUAUGUUCUAAUGUUUAUGUUUUACUUUUAUAUCUCACCCUCCUUGGAUUAGGUUCUUGCAAAUAUUUGUCUUGUUCUUUAAGUUAAAUUUAUGUUUUUUCUCAUAAUCAUCAGCAUCAUCAUCAUUAUUGUAACAGCCUUCAACACGUCACUUUUUUUUUUUUUUUUGGCAUAGUCAAGUUCAUGAAUUCAAAAUGAUGUUGCACAUAAUAUAGUUUAUUGCCUCCAAGAUUGAAUCAAAACCCCAAUGAAAGGUUACAUGCAUCAAUUUUAUAAUAAUUACAAUAUUAAUCAUGACGAUGACGAAGAUUUUGUGAAUAAAUAUUUUGGAGGCAUUUGUCAAAACCCUAUUAAAAAAAUGGGCAAAAACCCUAAAUUAUACUAAAUGUCAUUCAUCCUAAACUUUUUCUGUGAAGCUAAAAAUUUGAAAUUUGUCUCAUGCACAAGUAAUUUCUUGGUAUUUGCAUCAUUCUAAAUUAAGCAUACUUACCUAGUUUUUCGGGACACUCGUCAGCGUCACCCUAAUAAUAAUUAUAAUAAUAGCAAUAACGAAACAGCUGUUGAUAUUGCACAGAACUAGACGAGAUGGAGACUUGUGAACGCUUGAGUCGGUCAAAGAAGACAUUGUUAGUCAAUUAGGAGUGUGGAACAAGCUUGUGACUGAGUCUGGAACGAGUCUGUGACCCUGAAAUUUCGGAUCUUGAUGACGGUGUUGCUCACACAAACUAAUGAGCUUAUCCAAGCAUAAAGUGAGAACUUUUCUUAUUAGAAUUCGUUUGAUAAUCAUUCCUUUCUCGAGAAUUAUUUUUAUUCAAAAAUAGUUUCUUCAAUUUUGCUCUCUGAGCAAAUUUUUAAGCAUUUGAACACGUUUGGUAAUUGUACAAAAUUUUUAUUCUUAAAAAAAUAAUGGGAAUGCGUUUGGUACAACUCUCAAUUUUUUUACAUAGAAUUUCUUUUAAUUUAUAAAUUUUUUUUCUUUUUUUUCUUUUUAUCUCUCUUCCUGUUCCUCCUCUAACUAGUCACCAACAAGGGUCUAGCGAGGUCGCCAAACCUCAUCUUUGGCCGGCCGCUAGCUAGUCACCAACAAGGGUCUAGCGAGGUUCCUCCUCUAACUAGUCACCAACGAGGGUCUAGCGAGGUCGCCAGACCUCAUCUUUGGCCGGCCGCUAGCUAGAGGAGGAAGAAGAAGAAAAGAAAAAAUAAAACAAAAAAGAAAAUGGCUUGAUUCUAGAAUUGUUGCCAACAACAUAUGAAUAACUUUUUUCUACUUCUUGGUUUUGUUCUACAUAUAUUCCUAGGAACAUUGUUCCCAGAAGUAGAAAAAUUUGCUAAUGUUACCAAAUGGAUUUCUUUUAUUUAUUUAUUUAUUUUUAUUUUUGCUCCUGAGACAAAAGAGCAAAAAUAAUCAACAAUUAGCUAGUUAUCAAACGGGCCCUUGGUAUCAGAAUGCACAAAAAUGGCCAAGAAAGGAGUUUUGAGAAAAUUAUAACCAGAAUAAUGUUUAUAGCAAAUAUAUAGGCAAUUGUUAAUCAAAAGGAAAAGAGAAAACAUUCACAAGUCAUCUUUAGAUCCUUUAUCCUAGGAAGCAUGGACACUAUCUAGGAGUUUGUGUCGUGUCAGACAAAUGUGGUCAAUAGAUGUCAGAAAAUCUGAUAUGUAGUCAACUCUCUUGACAUGCUCCGAUACAAAAGUUCAAAAAUCUGACACCCUAUUCUAACACACACAAGUCAAUUUUAAAUUUUUUUAAUAAACGAUGGGUCAAAAUUAUGACAUCCUAGAUUUUUAGUUUUGCUUUCAAUUUAAUAAAUCGGGCCUUUCAUCGACGCACUUAUAGUGUUAUUCUCAAAGCUGAUCACUCUUGAGAUAACUAGACUAUCUAGGGAAGUCAUUAAGGAAUUUUAAUACAAUAUUGGGAGUUCAACUAAGAAUCGAUUACUCGACCGUGCUCAUCUAUAGAAAUUAUUAUGGCACAGUUAAAAGUCGAUUAGAGAUCAGAGAUAGGUCGGUUCAAUAAAGAUGUGUGGCUAAACGUGGGCGAUUCCACUAAAUUACAAAAUUCUCGUCAUCCGGCACUAGAUUGAUUUUUCUAUUAUUUUGGUACCCUAUGUCCAUAUUUGAAACCUUGAGAUUUUCACGACCAUCGAGAGUCGCCAAUGUGUUGAAGAGGUUCAUUGUGGCUCGAAGAAAAUCGACCACAAGUCAUUUGUAUUAAAAAUUUCUGAAAGCUACCUGGUAGACUAGGUCUCGCUAAAAUCGCGCCUAAUUGAAAUUAACCACGAAUUUGAAUCUGAUUUCAAAAAUUGAAAGUUCUGUCAUGUCACGAGUCAUUUUAGGAACGUUGACUCACUCUCCAAAGAUUUUUCUGCAAAUCAAUAUUUUUGGCGAAAAGUCGAGAUAGGAUUGUUUUCUACCGGAAAUUCAGAAGACCAUUUUUUAUCACAAAUUUGGGAUGCAAGUAGGUUCUAAUGGCGAGGAAAAACACCAAUUUGAUUGAGAACUCGACGGUUGAAUUUUUAGAAGCCGAAUUGAGUUGAUCCAAGAGGCAAUUGAAGUCCAUUUCGGGGAAUUCCAAUCAAAAUUCGUAGCCUCCUUUGGACCCAACAUUUGGGCCAUUUCAAUAGCUUCUAGAGGAAGCUAUGGCUACUGGAAAAGAAGAUGAGGAAGCCAGCUGCAUGGUGGGGCCUUCCAAGGAGACCAAAGAGAUGAGAUGAGACAAAAGUGGUUCCCCCCCCCCUAGCAGCUGGUUCCCCCUUCCCUCUUCUUCUCCCUUGCCCAUUGAGCUCAUCCAUUUGCCGACCAAGAAGCCUUCAAAAAUUUCGAGAACACCGACCGGCAUCUCCUCCUCCCCCAUUGAUGCUGCUUGCCACUCGCCGGAGCCAUUGCAUGCCGUCGCUCGCGCUUGCAUGCCUGCAUGCGUUGCUCCACCCCUAUCGCUUCUAGCCACCUCCUUCUAGCCUGCUCGACAUCCCACAAAGCCCCUGGGUCGCCAGCUGGAGUUACCCGCCUGAGCUGCUGCAGCCCGACCGUCUCGCUUGGGCCGUUUCCAACUCAACCGCCUGCCGAAGCAAUCUCUUCAAUCAUCGAGCAGAAGCUGAAGCUAGUGGGUCUUAUAGCCAUUGUUUGGCCUGUUUUCGAGCCCUUCCGGACCUCGCUUGGUGGUCUCGUUUUGGAAUUUAUCAAUCCUCGCUGCGUCCCCGUCGUUGUGGUCCAAGCAGAUCAUUAAUCAAGUGAGUUUAAUUCACUAAUAAUUUCUUAAUAAGUUAGUGACGUUUAAAGGUUGAUUAAUUUAAUUUAAGUAUGGUUUAGGUAGAUAGUUAAAAUAGAUUAGCAAUUUAAUCAUUCAAUAUUGCAUGUUAGGUGGUUUGAGUAGUAUAAUUAGAGCCUAGAUAAGCUCUAGUAUUUAUCUAGAGUGGUUCAGAAAUUUUUCAGGCCUGUCUCGGCUUUUAAUUAGGCUUUUUCGGCCUAAGUGUGCAUUAUUGGUAUUUAUUAAUUAUUUUUCGUAAUUAAUUAAUUAUUAUUUUUUUCGAAAAUUAGACCGGGAUAGUCAGUGACCGGAAUUUUAUGCUUAUUGCAAUGGUGUGAUUAAAUUAUUUAUUUGACUAUUAUUUUGUGCAAAUUGAGUGUGAUUUAUGAUUUUGGGUAUUUAUCCCAAAAUUUAUUAAUUUUAGUAUUUAAUUAGAAAAUUACCAGGUGUCGGUUUACAGCGCCAAAAAUGUUUUGUGAACUACUGAAAAUAGUGGGAUUUUAUAAAAUAAAGAUAUUAUAUUUUUGGCUCAGACUGACCGUGUACCCACACAUGAUUAUUUUUAUCGGGUAUUUUUAACACGAAAAAAAUAGGCCAGGACAUUAUUUUAGUUAAGGAAUUCAAGCGGGAAGCUCAAUGUCCUUGGCCAUGAAUGAAUAAUUGUGUGAUGGUUUAUAGUCAUGGUAAGAGGAUUAUUGAAGGGUGAGGUGAUGUAUGUUGUCGUGACGUUAUGGAAUGGGUUAAGAAAACCGCCAAAACAGGCUAUGCCUAUAGGGCUGUGAUUAACCACUGAAGCAGGCUAUACCUAUAGGGCUAUGAUUUACCGCCUAAUUUGGAAUAGGCUGUACCCAUCGAGCUAUGAUUUACCGCUAGACAUUUAGUAGGUUGUGCCCGUGAGUGGCUGUGAUUAUAAUUGAAAUGAGUAUUUGAUUGUGAUUUAUAAUGAGACGUUCCAAUCGAUGAAUGAUGUUAUUGCAUGUAUGAGAUAUGAAUUACCGACGUGCAGGAAGGAACUGAGGCAAAGGUAAGUCUUCUAACUCGUGCUUGUGUUUAAGCAACCCUUGGGGCGUAUUUUCUUCAUAAACGAGGCUUAGGGGAUUGAACUUGCUGAAACGUCAUCUCACCCCAUCAUGGGAUAAUAAUUUCAGGUCUUUAGAUGGCAACUCCUCUUAAGCAUUGGUCACGGAGCAAAAGUGUUUCAUUUCGCUUCAUGGAAGCCUAAGGGGUUGGGUAUAUGAGUUGGUGAGGUCCAUGGUCUGGGUUGAUGCGGAUCUACCCAAAAAGGUGCCCCAUCGAUACAAAUCAUGGUAUCGUCAGGAGUGGAAUGGACAAAGAGAGGGGCCCAUACUAGAGUAUGAGAUUCCUCUAUAUAUACUAGAGGUUGCUUUUGGGUAAAGUACAGUAGAUCCCCCUGAAGAUUCGGUGGUAAACCCGGUAGACUCGGAUCUUGCAGAUCUAAGAACCCCAGUGUACUCAGCUGAAGGCUCCAAUGUGUAUGACGAGGAGGAUGAAGAUUUGUAGUUUAGGAAACCCCCCCUCUUUUGCAAACUUUGUUUUUAUAAAUUGGUAUUGUAUAUGACAUGACUUGAUAUAUGUAUAUAUAAGCGUGUUGUAGUUUGAAAAAUUAUAGCCCUACUUCUCUAUCCCAUUUUGUUUGUUGUCUGGGGAAAUUAUUUAUUUGUUUCCGCAUGCGCAUUAAAAUGAAAGGGUCGGCGAUGCGUCAUAGGACGUCACUUUUUAACCGACCGUAGAUGAAUGGGCACGUGCUCGGAGGAUCGGGGCAUGACAAAAAAUAAAAUAUAUAAAAAAAUAAAUAAUAAUAAAAAUAAUAAAGGGUGAAAGAUGAAAAACCCUAAUUUCUUUCUAACUUCCAUUCCACACAAUUUUCCGCCCUCUUCUCGUCGGUCUCUCUCUCUCAUCGAUCGAUUCUAGUGGAAAGGAACUCAAAUUGAUCGAUUAAUCGAUCAAGGUAGGUAGGUGUCCAUUCCUUUGUCAAUCGCUUCAUGAGAAUGGGUAUUUUUUUAUUAUUAUUAUUGAAGUUGAGCUUUGGAUUUUUUAUAUUAUUGGAAUAGAAUGUAGCUAAAUUUGUUAAAUUGAAACAAUUAAUGUUAUUAACAAAUGGUGGAUUAAUAUUUUAAGUGUAAAUUCAUUCUAUGCAUUAUUUUUAUUAUUUAUUUAUUUAUGAAAUUGAAUCUAAUUAAUUUGAUUGAAAUAAUUAUAAAAAUGAUAAUUUAUCAUGUAUAUAUAAAAAUAUUCAUUUAAUAUACAACGUGUUUCAAAGUGUCGAAAUCCUCUAUUUUUUACAAAUGACAUGUUGAUGUGUUAUGUCGUUUCGUAUCGCAUGCCGCAUGUUAAUGUUGGCACUACUUAGCCUCUACCUCAUAUGGUUUUCGUUUGAUGCAGUGACCGAUACAUUUCAAAACUAAUCUCUUUCGCAUGAAUUGGUGAUUGAGAUGCUGGAGAUACCCGGCAAGUCCAGAUAGAAAGGGCUAAACUUUGGGUACUACUUGGAAAAUAAUUUAUGUUCUCGAACUUCAAUUCUUAAAUUGGAAAUCAAACGUCGGAUGCGCUGUGAAAGGAUGACUUUCAUUGGACCAAUGUUUCCAUUGCUCUCGUGCUUACUUGCUGUAACUAUUCAAUGCCUGCAAAUCGUGGGAUGACUUGGAGGUAUUCGAAAGCUAUUGCUCUUACUGAGUUUACUAUAAUUUCUACCAAACUUAUCUAUUUCCCUUCAAUUAUUUUCUCCUUGUCCAAACAUACUGAGAACAUUAGUCCUUCCCUUUCUCUUCUUUGGUGAUUACUAAAGCGCUCUUGUUUGCAAAAGUAUACAUCGAUCAUUGAUAGCGCAUCAUAAUUAUCGAUUAAAGAGAAGUAUAUACUGGAAAUCUAUGUAUUUGAACUAACCUGUGGAGUUGCUUAGUGAUUAGGGGACAAAUUUGAGGGUGGCUCAAGAACACAGCACAGGUUCAAUAUUUCAUACCAUCAAGUACAAACCAUUUGCAAUGGCUUGUGAUGCGUGUUUAGGUUCAACUUCCUCAUCACCAUUGACAUGUAAAAACGCAAACAUCAAUAUGUUCAAAGAAUACACAUCAUGUACCUGUGAGGAACUCAGAUAUAGACCUAAAUCUAAAUCAAGAGAGUAAAACCUUAAAUCUAGACCUAAAUCUAAAUCGAGAAAGGAGAGCAAUCUAAUUUCGAAGAGAUUGUGGAACCACGUCAGGACCAUUCUCCUUGGUGGCUGUCGACCGGACUAAUGGCUGAAUUGGUCUCUACGUUCACCCAAUAUCAGCCGCAGAAAUUUAUUCACACAAAUUCCCAAAACAAUAUGGAGAGAAAAGAAAAGACAAUCAAAGAGCAAGUAGGCUCCCAGCUUCGGAAACUAAAGCUGAAAGCCUACAGGAGAGCUUCAAAAGAGGGACGAGUUUUUAAGAGAUGAGGCAUUUUUGGGUAACUAAUGGUUCCUUCCUUCACAGGUUGAAAAAAAAAGGACCACGGAUCAGAGUUUACCCUAACGAGGCGUCGCCUUUGGUAUUCAAAGCGUUUCGUCAACAGGUAUGUUCUAAAGUUCUUUUUAUAUUUUUAGGAUAUUUUAGGGUUAAUAUUAUUUUUAAAAAAAACUUAAAUUGGUACGCGACAAAUUUACCUUAAACUAAUUUUUUGACAAUAAAAAAUCUCAAACUAAUAUAUCUGUAACAAAACUUACCCUCCAUUUGCCACGGGUGUUCCAUUUUGUAUUUUUUUUUUUUUUGCGAUAUUAAUCAAAUUUAACGGAAACAACUUAGGGUACUCUAUUACAAAUGUGCUGGUUUAAGAUUUUUUAUAGUCAAAUAAUUAGUUUUGGGUAAAUCUAUUAUAAGUGUACUGGUUUUGGAUUUUUGUGAUCAAAAAAUUAAUUUGGGAUAAAUUUAUUAUAAAUGUACUAAUGUGUGAUUUUUGGUAAUCAAAAAAAUAGUUUGAGGUAAAUUUGUCAUAUAUGUUCCAAUUUGAGAUUUUUCGUGGUUUCAACCCUAUAAUUUUAUAUCUCACACUUCUUGGAUUAGGUUAACCACCUAGAGGGUAUUCUCUCCUCCUAGGAAAGAAAAAGAUAUAGAGGGGAAUUUAGGGGAGUUAUAUGUGCGGGCAUUGGCACGUAAAAUAAGGAACGUAAUGCCAUUAAUCCACCUAAGUUACUAGGUAGGUGGGAUGGCCCCAACUCUGAGGUGAAAAUGUCCUGAGGAUCCAAGGCUACCCCCGGUUAUAUGGUUUCCAAGUAACCCUAGUAACCUUUGUAUCCUUGGUUCUUGGUUAGACGUUACCUCAUAAAUGAAGGGAGUGUUAACUCCUACAAGGGUCUCCAUGGCUUGUUCGUCUGAUAUAUAAGGACAACGGGUUCCAAUGAUGUGUUCUUUAUUUUAACGUGUUGGAGCCUGCAUGCCUCACACCUCUAAUUCCCUCUAUAUUUUUUUCUUCCUCAAAGAGUGUGAAUACCCUUUUGGUGUUUAGCAUCUGAGAGAUGCUGAAGUCCACAUGAGACCUCAGACAAAGCAAUUCUAGGUCAUACUCUAGAUCAAUCUUAUAGGGAGGUUCUUGGCCAAUAUGUUUUUCCUAGCAUGGGAGCUGCCAAUACCUCAGAAGUUUAAAGUCAUUGAAGCACUUUAACAUAGGGGUCAGCCAUCACAACUUGACUAGUACACCCCCACCAUAGAGUGUUCUCUUUAUUGUUAUGGUAGUUUUCUAAGGACAUGCUCAGGUUCAUUCUUAAAUCAGGUUAAUGCAAAUAUUUGUCUUGUUCUUUAAGUUAAAUUUAUGUUUCGUCUCAUGAGACCAUCAGCAUCAUCAUCAUUAUUCUAACAACUUUCAACACGUCACCUUUCCUUGCAUAGUCAAGUUCAUGAAUUGGAAAAGAUGUUGCAUAUAAAAUAGUCGUAUUUGAAUUUAAACGCCGAUGGAAUUCUUUGCACAUCUCCAUUAAACCUGGGACAGUUUUGAUAUAAGGUAAAAUCUACAACUGUUAAAAGAUUGCAAAUUUUCCAUUUCAUCCGUAUAACCAGUAUAUUGAGCGAAACCGAAUGCAUCAAGGUGGUUUUUUUCCCUAUAGAUCGAAGCUAAUGGUGUAGACAAAGGAGGUGGGGGAUAACCAUCCCCAGAAACACUGCACAUUUCCUUCGUGAGAUGCCUAGCUGGCAAGUUGGUACGAUUAUCGGCUUUUUCUGUUAAUUAAUCAAAACUGGGUACUUCCGAAAUCCUUCACUAACUCUAGGAUUUCAGUGACUGCGCAUUUCCUUUUGAUGAACGAGUUGUGGGGCUUUGAAUUUGGGCUGCUGCAGCAUCGGUUCUCAAAUCAGACGUUUUACUGUUCUGGCUAUGUUUACAAUUGCGCAUUCUUAUUUGUUUGACGUCCCAUUGAACUUGGAUUUCGAUUCAUGGAAGUUGAUAGCCCUCAAGUGGUUGCAUUCGAAAUGCUUCAAAGUUUGACUCUAUUAAGCUUGACUCUCGAGAGUGCAGGAAGGAUUUUAAUGCAAACCAUCUCAUCAUAAUAAUAAAAUUAAAAAAAAAAAAAUCAACCCUUUGUCCAUGGAGAAAACAGAGUGAAGAGGAAAUUAACGAAAGAAGGUGCGCAUGCACUUCCCAUUUGUGCUUCUUCAGUGUUGGCUUUGCUCUUAGAACUUGUUAUGACGAGCUAGUCGGGCCUCGGGUGCUAUCAUUGUCGUUUUUCUGUCUCUCUAGCUCCAGCUCGAAUGACUGCUGUUCCUCUCUAUUGUCGUCGCUCUCUAGUUUAGUUCCCUGCAGGCAUCAUCCUUACCAGAAAUGUCUCCCGGAUUUACUUCCUUCUCGAAUUUCAGCGCCACAGCGGGUAGCAACUGCUCUCGACAAUCGCAUGAUUCAAAAGAUUUCGGGACUGGUACGAUAUAUGUGGACUAAAGAGGGACCAAAUUGACGUAGAAUCAUCAUUGAAGGCAGCAUCUUUUCAGCAAAUGCAGAAUUUUUUUUUCAAAGAAUGCUGGUACUCAGCGCGUAAAAGAUUAUAUUUCUUGAUAAAAAAAGACUAAAAAUAAAAGUUUAAACUAGCCUCUCUCUCUUUUUUUUUUAAAGUAUUUCUUUUGUGCAUUUUGCCUCGUGCACAUUUUCUAAUAUAUAUAUUGUCGAGGGAACCUUAUUUACGUAUAUUUCACAAUUUCUGUCUCCUUUUUCAAAGGAAAUAUUCGUCUGUUUGAAGACCGAGUUAGAUCGAGUAUUAUAAGGAUAAAGUGUGAUCCGAUCAGCUACAAGUCGAUACAAUCACAUUACAUAAAAAUGAGUCGAGGUUAGACCUGAUUUCGAUCCAUCCAAAUCCGAUCCGAUUACAUAAAAAAUUGGAUUCUUUCUCCAACACUCUCUCUCAAGCUGGCGGCCUAUAAAUGUCAAGAGUGCCAAGCUUGCUCAACAAAUAUCUAUGUUGUCUCUAUCAUAACGGCUUAGUGAAGUAUAUACUGGCUAUUAUAUAGUCCUAAUUCCUCUAAGUUGUAACAAUGCUGUUGGAGAAAUCUUUCUGGAAUAUUUUGAAGUUGACAAAACGAUUCUAUCAGUCUAGUCUGAAGUUUUGCAGACUCUUCUAUUAAAGUCUGAAGACCUUCGGACUACCAAACUCAAGACUCAAAGUUUAUUCUCAUUGACAGUUUCUAAUCCGUUGAAGAAAGGCUAUCCAAAACUGCUUUAUUAAGGAUUUGGCCUUAUUGACUGGAGAAGAUCUCUUGGUUGGAUAUGACAUAACGGAUUCCUUUAUUCAAAUCAAGAAUGAUUAAAGAUUCGAUGAUUGGCGAAGUAUUAUUGGAAGGUUCUACUUAUGGAAACCAAGAUCCUGAUUAUAUGGGCGAGCAGGAUUGAUGGGCUAUCGACAUGUUCCUUUAAUAGCUCGAAUGAUCUUCCUAAUUGAUUCUGUCCAACGGGAGGAUUGGAAGAAUUCCUUUGGUAGUGCCAACGGGUAUGAUGGCACAAAGGAGUAUAAAAGGAAGACGUUCCAGUUGUUCGAGUGUGUGCACGAUAGAAGAAUUCCAAAGUCUGAAACUCUUUGAUUCUUAGUCAAUUCACUUACUGAGCGAAAUCUUGUACACAAAAGAGAGUCUAUAUUUUGAGAUACCUUGAGGAAGUGUGGUAGAAUAUCUACAUUGUGGAAUCAAGGGAAAGUAGUGCUGUAACAUCUCUUUUGUUCAUAAUGAAAUCCAGCCAGUGGGCUGUCAAUGCAAAAGAGUGGACGUAGGCUUGGAAUAAGCCGAACCAUUAUAAACCUUGUGUUCAAUUUUCUCUUCCCUACUCUAUGCUUUACUUUGAUCAUAGUUUGAUUUGUUAACUAAAGGAGAGCUUCCUUUCUGUUGUUUGUCUAGUAUUGCUUUCAUAUCUUGAGAAAUUAUUUUUACACCUAUUCACCCCCUCUAGGUGCUUAUACUAGCUAUAUCAAUUGGUAUCAGAGCUUGUGUACUCACUUUGUUUGAAGUGUUGUACUUCAGAGUUAAAGAUCCAUGGCUAGUAUGCUAGCUCCAGGGCUGGUGGAAGGGCAAAGCAAUACCAGACCACCUUACUUUGAUGGAAAAGAUUAUAACAUCUGGAAAAACAAGAUGAAAGCGUUUCUACGAUCAAAGGAUCCUCUGGAAUUGGACUUGUAGAAAAAUGAAUCACUCCUAAAGCUGCAUCUGUCACAGAGAGAGGAAAAGAAACUGUUGAGUCAAGUGAAAUGACUCAGGAAGAGAUAAUCAAGAGACAAGCUCUUGAUGCAAAAGCAAUUUAUUCUUUAUAUUGUGCUUUGUCACCUACUGAAUAUAAUAGAAUAUCUUCUUGUGUUACAGCAAAAGAAGUCUGGGAUAGAUUACAUAUCACCUAUGAAGGAACUGAUCGAGUGAAAAAGACCAGGAUCAACAUUCCCCUCGGUCAAUAUGAAGCCUUCAAAAUGAAAUCAGGAGAAUCUAUAACUGACAUGUUUAGUCAUUUUAUAGAAAUCGUGAAUGGUCUUCAAAAUCAGGGUCAACUAAUUUCUGAUCCCAUGAAGGUAAACAAGUUACUACGUGGAUUCUCCAAGGAUUGGAAUCACAUAAAGACCUCAAUUAGAGAGACGCAGAGAAUCAUGCCACUAUCUGUCGAUGAGUUGGUUGGAACUCUUCAGUCUUAUGAAGUGGAACGAAUCAAUAAAGACAAAGAUCCUAAAGGUAAGAAAUCAAUUGCAUUAAAAUCCAAUGAUGAUUUUGAUGUCACAGAUUCUGAAGACGAUAUGGAUAAUGAGGAGCUUGCUCUCAUGAUAAGAAGAUUUAGAAAGCUGAACAGAAAAGGAAGAAGAUUCAAUCCAAAGAAACAGAGUUUUCAAAACUAACAGACCAAGUCUGUUGAUGAUAAUGAAUCAAACAAAGAUGUAGUUUGCUUUGAACGUAAGAAAAAUGGACACAUCAAACCCAACUGUCCUCUUCUGAGAAAGAAGAAAGGAAAAGAUGAAAAGAAUCAAAAAGCUCUUAAAGCAGAAACCUGAAGUGAUACAGAGUGUGAAGAAAGUGAUGAUGAUUAUGCCAAUAUAUGUCUGAUGGCACAAUCGGAUUUAGAAUCAAACUCCGAGACAGACUCAGAUUCAGACAGUGAAUUUGAGGUAAGUAACUUUAAAAUCCCUGUUAAAGUUUCCAAAUACAUUGAUGAGCUAUGUUUUAGUCUUAAGACUUCUCUUAAAAGGAUUUCCGAACUUAAAAAUGAAAACUCUGCACUAAAACAACAGGAAAAUGUUUUGAAAGAAAAGUUGAAACAUUUAGACAUGAAUGUUUCUACUCUUAAAGAAAGCAAAGAUAAUCUCUUGAAAGAAAAUGCAUUUUUAAAAAAUGACUUAUUAAAUAUUUCAAAAAGAUUUUCAAUAGGAUCUCAGAAACUUGAAAAAAUUCUUUUAGCACAAAGACCUUAUUUCAAUAAAUCUGAUUUAGGAAUGACAGCAGAAACCAUUCCUUUAAUUGAUUUUCCUAAAGUGAAGGAAAGAAUUAAGCAAAGAACUCCAAAGACAUUUUACAAAAAUCAUUUUCAAAAAGUGUUUGUAAAACCAGUUGGUCGAAAUGCUCUCAGAUGUUCAAAGUGCAAUAGUACAGAUCAUUUUGAAAAAGAGUGUCCUAUGGUUUGGAAACCUGUUAAGAAAGUAUGGGCAAAAACCGCAUAUCAUACUAACACCAAUGGAUCCAAAAAAAUAUGGGUACUAAAGAAAGCUUGAGUCUCUUUUUUAAAUGCAAGUCACUAUCAAGAAAAAGGUAAAAUGGUAUCUAGAUAGUGGAUGCUCAAGACAUAUGACAGGAGAUUCAAAUUGCUUCAUAAAGCUCGUUCAAGUAAAUGGUAGAAAAGUCUCAUUUGAAGGAAACAACAAAGGAAACAUUGUGGGAUUUGGAACUGUAAAGAUUGGAAACCUUACAAUAAGUAAUGUUUCCCUAGUGGAAGGACUCAACUACAAUCUGCUCAGUAUCAGUCAGCUAUGUGAUACUGGUUUCAAAAUCAACUUUCAAGAGGGAAUAUGUUUAGGAACCAGUAAAGAUUCUACUCAGUCAUUCAUGGGCCGAAGACAUGGAAAUAUCUACCUCUUGGAUGUGAAACCAGAUGAAUCACAAUGUCUAAUCUCAAUUCAAGAUGAAGCGAGCUUAUGGCACAGAAAGCUUGGGCACAUCAAUAUGAAGCAGAUAGCCAAAAUUUCAGCAAAGAAGCUUGUUCGUGAUCUACCCAAAUUGUCAUACCAAAAGUCUGAUCUAUGUACACCAUGCGUAUUGGGAAAGCAGGUCAGAAAUUCCUUUAAACCAAUAAAUUAAGUUUCCAUUAAUCGUAUACUACAGCUUCUGCAUAUGGACCUUUUCGGACCAACCAGAACUUAGAGCAUUGGAGGUAAGAAAUAUUGCCUAGUAAUUGUGGAUGAUUACUCACGAUUUACUUGGGUAUAUUUCCUGGCAAGUAAGUCUGAAACUUUCUCUUACUUUGAAAAGUUUGCUAAAAAUGUUCAAAAUGAAAAAGGGUAUGUUAUCUCAAGUAUAAGAACAGAUCAUGGAGGUGAAUUUGAAAAUCAAGAUUUUACAAAAUUCUGUGAUGAAUCUAGUUUUCAGCAUGUGUUCUCCUCUCCAUAUACUCCAGAGCAAAAUGGAGUUGUGGAAAGAAAGAAUAGAUCGCUUCAAGAAAUGGCUAGAACUCUUUUAAUUGAAAGUAACAUCUCUUUACGAUUUUGGGCUGAAGCAGUUUCAAUAGCAUGUUAUAUUAUCAAUAGAGUUUUUCUAAGGCCUAUUAUGGAAAAAACCCCAUAUGAGUUAUUCAAAGGAAAUAAGCCUAUUGUUGCAUAUUUUCAUGUAUUCGGAUGCAAAUGCUUUAUAUUGAAAAAUGCAAAUGAUAGAGUUGGUAAGUUUGAAGAAAAAUCAGACGUAGGCAUCUUCCUUGGAUAUUCUAUCUCAAGCAAAGCCUAUAGAGUCUAUAACAAUAAGAGUCAAUCUGUGGAGGAAUCAAUAAAUGUCAAAUUCUAGGAUUCUAUGCAAAAUGAAUCCGCUCAGACUUAUCUUGAAGAAUCUGAACCUGCUCCAGACUCUACAAAGUCCAAAUCUCAAGAAGCAACUCAGACUUUGAAAAAUCAACAACAAAUGGUUAUUGAAGAUUCAAAUGAAGGAAGUGAUCAUCAACCUGACAAAUCAACCAGUAACUUUGGAAGCAUAAGUCCAGUCAUCCCAAAGACCUCAUUAUUGGCGACAAUAAUGAAGGAAUUCGCACAAGAUCCAAAAGGCGCGAAGAGUCUAGUGAUGUGGCUCUUAUUUCUGAAAUAGAACCAAAAAGCAUAGAAGAAGCUUUAUCUGAUGAAAGCUGGAUUGAAGCUAUGCAAGAAGAACUCAGACAAUUCAGUAUUAAUGAUGUCUGGGAGUUGACUCCUAAACCAAAAAGUAAAUCUAUUAUUGGAGCUAAAUGGGUUUUCAGGAACAAGAUGAACGAAAAAGAUAAAGUCAUAAGAAACAAAGCAAGACUCGUGGCCAAGGGAUAUACGCAAGAAGGGAUAGACUAUGACGAGACUUACGCACCAGUAGCAAGGUUAGAAGCAAUUCGAUUAUUACUUGCUUUUGCUUCUUAUAAGAAUUUCAGGUUAUUCCAAAUGAAUGUCAAAAGUGCUUUCCUGAAUGGAUUUAUUCAUGAGGAAGUCUAUGUGGAACAAUCCCCUGGGUUUGAAGACCCAAGGAAGCCAGACUUAGUAUUCAGACUGAAAAAGGCAUUGCAUGGAUUAAAGCAAGCACCUCGAGCUUGGUACGACAGGUUGAGUAAGUUUUUAAUUCAAAAUGGCUUUGAAAAAGGUAAAGUAGACACUACUCUGUUUAUCAAAAGAGAAAGCAAAAGUUUUCUGCUUGUUCAAAUAUAUGUUGAUGAUAUCAUUUUUGGAUCCUGUAAUGAAAGUUUGUGCAAGAAAUUCUCUAAGUCUAUGCAGGAUGAAUUUGAAAUGAGCAUGAUGGGUGAACUAACCUUCUUUCUUGGACUUCAAGUGAAACAAUUGAAGGAAGGGACUUUUAUUCAUCAAGAAAAAUAUGCUAAUGAUCUUGUCAAAAAGUUUGGACUGGAAAAUUGCAAAAAGACUGAUAUACCAAUGUCAAGUUCCUUGAAGAUAGACAAAGAUGAAGGAGGAAAGAAAGUUCUCACUUCUUUAUCUUACUGCUUCUAGACCUGACAUUUUGUUUAGUGUUUGCAUUUGUGCCAGAUUUCAAGUAGACCCUAAAGAAUCUCAUCUAAGUGCUGCAAAGCGUAUUAUCAAAUACAUUGCUUCAACUUCAAGCAUCAGUCUUUGGUAUCCUAAAAAGAGAGACUUUACUCUCCUUGAAUAUUCAGACGCAGAUCUAGCUAGUUGUAGAGUUGAUAGAAAGAGCACCUCGGGUACCUGUCAGUUACUUGGAAGCAGGACAGUGUCUUGGUUUUCAAGGAAGCAAAAUACAGUAGCUCUUUCUACAGCAGAAGUAGAGUAUGUAGCUCUUGGAAGUUGUUGUUCACAAAUUCUGUGGAUAAAGCAACAGCUAAGAGAUUUUGGGAUUGAAGAUUCAUGCACGGAGAUUAACUGUACACCAGUGCAAUCAAUCUUACCAAAAAUCCAAUUCUUCACUCAAGAGCAAAGCAUAUAGAGAUUCGACAUCACUUCAUUAGAGAUCAUGUUCAAAAUGGAGAAGUUUCAAUUCAAUUUAUUGACUCAAAGAACCAACUGGCGGAUAUAUUUACAAAGCCUUUGGAGAAAAAUCAAUUUGAAAUCAUCCGUUCCAGACUCAACAUCUUGAAGCUUGAAGAAGUUAAAGUCGAGAGACUCGUAGUCUCAAACAAUCAUGGUUCUUGACUGUAAGUUAUUUUCUCUUAUAUUAAAUCUCGUAAAGGUACGAUCAUUUAUCCAUUCAUAAUUGAUUUAUGCUAUCUUCAAUUUCCGUGAAAAGUGCAAUUUUUUCCUUUUCAAAAAGAGUUAAUGGCAGUUAUCUAUUUUUGAAAAAGGCAGUUAUUUUUUUAAAGGCAUCUUUUAACCUUCCUUUACGACGUUUAGCAUUCUCCCAUUUCGACUAAACGAUAUACAGUCGAUUCCUCUUCACUUAACUCCAAAAUCCUAAGAAGCAUCGAUCCUCCAUUCAUGUCUUCCUCCCUUGUUUAAUCUUCGAAAAAGUUGUCAUCUUUCUUGGGAAAGUCAAGCAAGGAAUCUUUCGAAGACUGAGAAAGAUGUCGUCUUCAAGAAAGUCUUCGAGAAUCGCAAGCAGGGGACCAUAGCGAAUGAGUGAGGGGCCUACUCACUUUGAUCUCACCGAGGAAGAGGAGUCACCAAGUCAGUAGCAGAGCCCACAACAUUCUCAGUAGCGUCAUUCUCCACCAUCUAGUCCACAGGAUGCUGGUCAUCAAUAAGAGGAAGAAAUCAUUGAAGACGCAGAUCCUGUAAGAGUUCAAAAGCCCUCUUUUAUUUAUAAGCUUUACCGUGCGUUAAAGAUCACUAGCACUCCAUUGAACUACAUCGAUGAGUUUCUUAAGGACAAACGAUAUGGGAAUGAGUACAUCUUUUUGCGAAAAAUGGAGAGUUUGGAAAUUGCUCCUAAGGGGUUGGCAGAAAAAACCCUUGCAAAUAUCCCAAGUGAUCCGCGUGUUGGGGGAUUUAAUCCGAUAAAUGGGAAUGAUGAUGACAGAUUGUACAGCCAAUUUCAACCGAGAAUGGGUGUUGUGGCGAAAAUUUGAGGAAAAAGAACAGAGUUGUUUAGAUCGAAGGAACAGAAGGAUCUAUACUCCAAAUUGUUGAAGCGUGGGGUGAUAAACCCUAGGAGUGUGGAUUUUGAUUUCCUUGAUGCUGUGAAUGUCAAUUUGAGGGAAAAGUUCAGUUUUUUUUCAACUUGAACAGUUCUGUUCUGACACCACAGAAGCCUAUGCUCAAUUAACUGCAUAUUUCUAUUCAAAUCUUAGUUUCAUGGAUGCGAAUAGAAUCUCUUUCAGUGUCCGAGAUCAGGACUUUGUAGUGGAUGUGGAUAUGUUGGCGGAUGUUAUUGGGGUUGAGAGAGGGAGAUAUCAAUCCAUCAGCGUCUCUAUAGCUUGUGCCACAUGGAAACUUGUUAAAGACAAAAGGACAGAGGGAAGGAUUUCCUAAUCAAGGAUGCGUGCGUUCAACAUUCUGCUUCACAAGAUUGUGAUAAAUUGCCUCAGACCGAAAUCAACUUCCAAGACUGAUGUUUCUAACUUAGAGGCAAAGCUGAUGUACGCCAUCAAUGCUGGGAAAAAGUUUUCUCUUCCUCACACUAUUCUGUUCCACAUGUAUAGAGCAGUGGUGAAGGACAAGGGCCAACUUCCUUAUCCAGGUCUUGUGUCAAAGAUAUUCAGACAUUUGAAUAUUCAGCCUCCACAAAUUCUCUGUGUUCGACCAUGUGACAAAAUGGUGGUAUGAUUGAAAAUGGUGUCCAAAAUGUGUCUGAAAGAGCUCGACAAGGCAUUAGAGAAAUUUAAGGAGAAAACCCCUGUCAAAUCUCAUCAAGUCUCUUCUGCAGCGAAAAGAAAAGGGAAGGAGCCCAUUGUUACUCCAUCCAAAAAGAGAAAAGCUCUCAUUACUGAUGAAGAUGAUGAGGAUGACCUCACAAUUUCUGCUAUAGCAUUGAAGAAGCUGAGUCGUUCUGUUCUAGAAUCAAUGGAAUGACAGGAGAAAGAAGCAUAUUAGAGAGAAGAACAGGAGAAAACAGAAGAAGAAAUAGAAGCAGAGGAGAAUGAAGAAAAUGAGAAAGAAGCUGAAGAAAAAGAAGCAGAGGAGGAAAGGUUUGAAGAAGAAGAAGAAGAAGAAAGAGAAAAUCAAGAGGAAUGAGAGCAUGAGGAACACUCUUCUCCACCUGAAGUCAUGAAAACCAGGGGGAGAUGGUGAGAACAGAGGAAUGUCCUCAUAUCUUGUUAUCAGUGAAGGAGUCAGCCGUUCUCCAGCAGAUCCAGAAGACAUUCAUGCCUCUCAAUUUCCUGAGGAGGGACUUGAUGCUUCAUCGCCAAGUCUGUGUGAUUAUGCUGAUAUACCAUUGUCUGCCUUUACUCCAUCAUAUCUUGCCGAAGCCAGUACGCAGACUGAUAACUCAGCAGAUUUUUGCAGAAUCAUUGAUGUUCUUUUGGAAAUGCGGGGUCAGAUAUAUGCUUUGGAAAGCGAAGUUCAGAACUUGAAGAAUGCAGGACAAACUUCUUUCGUUUCAUUAUCUGAUCAGAUCCAAGCCCUUGCUCUUUAGAUUCAAGCCAAUGCUAAAGGUGAAGAGGUGGAUCAACUGAAGGAAGAAUUGAAAAAGCUGGAAGGCAUCAUCCAGUUCAUGGGAGAUUUCUAGCUUGUUCGCAUUCCCAAGCAAACUUGACUCCAUUCUAUUCCCAUCUCAACCUCUCUCUUUUUUUUAUGACAAAAAGGGGGAGAGAUGCGAGAUUUGAAAUCUUUGAACUUAAACUUGUUGAAUUUUCAGUUUGUUUUGAUGUUUGACUUGUGUGUCUGUGUCUAGAUGAGGAUUGACUAAACGUGGAUUUGGAUUUGACUGCUGCUUAUAUUAAGUACUAUUGAUAUCUUAUGAAUGGCUUUACUCUCAUGCAAGACUAACCUAUUUUUUGUGGUUACAUAUUCUAGUGUUAUCAUUAAGCCAUUAAUCUUUAUGAGAUAUCCAUAUUUGCUUGAGUAAUAUUUUGCAGGUAAGAGUUAUUCAAAUCUGCAGGAAAGUUUUGUCACCAUCAAAAAGGGAGAGAUUGUUGGAGAAAUCUUUAUGGAAUAUUUUGAAGCUAACAAAAUGUUUCUAUCAGUCUAGUCUGAAGUUUUGCAGACUCUUCUAUUAAAGUCUGAAGACCUCCGGACUACCAGACUCAAGACUCAAAGUCUAUUCUCAUUGACAGUUUCUAAUCCGUUAAAGAAAGGCUAUCCAGAACUGCUUUAUUAAGGAUUUGGCCUUAUCGACUGGAGAAUAUCUCUUGGCUAGAUAUGACAUAACGGAUUCCUUUAUUCAAAUCAAGAAUGAUUAAAGAUCCGAUGAUUGGUGAAGUAUUCUUAGAAGGUUCUACUUAUGGAAACCAAGAUCCUGAUUAUAUGGGCGAGCAGGAUUGAUGGGAUAUCGACAUGUUCCUUUAAUAGCUCGAAUGAUCUUCCUAAUUGAUUAUGUCCAAUGGGAGGAUUGGAAGAAUUCCUUUGGUAAGUGCAAACGGGUAUGAUGGCACAAAGGAGUAUAAAAGGAAGACGUUCCAGUUGUUCGAGUGUGUGCACGAUAGAAGAAUUCCAAAGUCUGAAACUCUUUGAUUCUUAGUCAAUUCACUUACUAAGCAAAAUCUUGUAUACAAAAGAGAGUCUAUAUUUUGAGAUACCUUGAGGAAGUGUGGUAAAAUAUCUACACUGUGGAAUCAAGGGAAAGCAGUGCUGUAACAUCUCUUUUGUUCAUAAUGAAAUCCAGCCAGUGGGCUAUCAGUGCAGAAGAGUGGACGUAGGCUUGGAAUAAGCCGAACCACUAUAAACCUUGUGUUCAAUUUUCUCUUCCCUACUCUCUGCUUUACUUUGAUCAUAGUUUGAUUUGUUAACUAAAGGAGAGCUUCCUUUCUGUUGUUUGUCUAGUAUUGCUUUCAUAUCUCGAGAAAUUAUUUUUACACCUAUUCACCCCCCUCUAGGUGCUUGUACUAGCUAUAUCAAAUGCCUUCUAGAAUUUUUUUCUCGAGUAAAAUAGCAAUCAACUUCAAUAUGUUUUGUUCUCUCGUGAAAGAUCGGGUUUGCCACUAAUUUUAGUGCAGCAUCAUUAUCACAAAAUAAUUCACUUGCGCCGUUGACUUGCACACCAAGAUCUGAAAGUAAUUCUUGUAUCCAAACUAUUUCACAAAUAGUUUUGCAAUGGCUCAAUAUUUUGAUUCAGUUGAUGACAAUGAAACUGUUGACCAUUUCUUCAUUUUCCAUAAAAUCAAGGACUUUCCUAACUUGAUACAAAAACCAAUUAUGGAUCUUCUCGUCAUUGGGCAAGUAGCAUAAUCCGUGUCAUAAUAUGCCAUCAUCUUCAUGUUGCUAUCACGGGAUGAUAAAAUUCUAAGUCCUGGACAUCCCUUCAGGUACUUUACAACCUUCAACAUUGCAGUCAUAUAUGAUUGCUUUGGGUAGUGCAUAAACCGACUAAGUAUUUGUACUACAUAACAUAUAUCAAGCUUAGUUAUGGUGAGACAUUAAUUUUCCAACAAGUCACUAAUAUCCCGAUGGGUCCUUGAGUAGUGCCUCUUCAUUUGGGGAAGGAGAACUUGCAUCAUAUUCAUAUAUUGUCCACUUGACAUUUUGCUCAAUAAACACAAUAGUUGGUUUACACCCCGACAAUCAUGCAUCUGAUAUGAUUUCUAGGAUGAAUUUUCACUAAUGAGACAAAUUCCCUCACUAGAUCGAGCUAUUUUAAUACCAAGAAAAUACUUAGGAGGUCCCAAAUCUUUAAUAUGGAAGGUCAAAUGCAAGUAUCUCUUGAACUUCUGAAUUGCAACAUCAUCAUUUCACAUAAUAAGUGCAUCAUCGACAUAAAUCAAUAAGUAGAUCGAUGAAGUACCUUUGAUCCAUGUGAACAAUGCAUAAUCAUGCUUCGAGUGUUGGAAACCUGCAUUUACAUGCUACAGUAAACUUGUAAGUGCAUUUCCAUGUGAACAAUUCAUAAUCCAUAAGUACAUUUGUAAGUGCCGCAAUAAACUUUACAUGCCACUGUCAAGAGGCCUAUUUGAGUCCAUACAGGGAUUUGCGGAGACGGCACACUCAAGACUCCCCUUAUCUACGUAAUUCCUAUGGAAGUUCCAUGUAAAUUUCUUUAUUAAGGUCGCCAUGAAGGAAGGCAUUAUUGACAUCCAUAGGAUGUAAGUCCCAAUUACGUAAUACAACAAUAGAUAGAAAAGAGCGAACAAUCACUUCUUUAGCAACAGAAGAUAAGUUCUCAUGCUAGUCAAAACCUUCACGUUACGUGAAUUUUUUAGCGACGAGUCGAGCCUUAUAACGCUCAAAUGAACCAUCUGCUUUAUAUUUUAUUUUGUAAACCCAUUUGCAGCCAAUAGGCCUUCUGUGGGAGGGCAGAGGAACGAUGUCCCAAGUAUUAUUCAAUGUAAGAACAGCUAUUUCUUUUCAUGGCCCUUUGCCAGCAAAUAUCACGCGCUACUUCCUCAUAGGAAGAAGGUUCCCGUUCUUCAAAUAUCCAACUGAUACAACACUUGUUUCGGCAAUAAUCGAUUGAAGAAAACAUAGGAGGACACCGGAUAUUACGUACGUGGAGUCCCCAAGGUAGGGCAGAUUUAGUCCUUAAUCCAUGUUAGGGGGACAAACCUAUUGUCCUAAACAUAUAGGCCUAUCAAUAGCUAGUGAUAAGGGUCCAGUAUGAUGUUGCUGUGAUGAUGGAGAACCAUUAUUGCUUUGCCAUCAUGAUAUCGUUGCAGAUUUGUUUAUUGCAAAAAAAGAAUAAGAAGACCUAGUAAGGGGAUCAGGAGACCCAGUAGAUAAAGCAGGAGAUCCAGGGCAUGCCAUCACAAGACAAUAGUCGAUGGAUGGUUGAUCUGGUCAAUCAAAAUGUACUCUAGCUGCAUAGAAAUAUCCUCCACUUAUAAAAUUGUCAUUGAUUUGAUUUUGCCUUUGGCGGCUUAUGUGGAGAUGCCAUUUCUUAUAAAGGAAAUAUAUCCUCACGGAAGAUAACAUCUUAGCUAACAUAGAAACAACCUAUAGAUAUCUCCAUAACUUGAUAACCCUUUUAUAGAGUGGGAUAUCCCAUUAAGACACAUUGAAGAGCAUGAGGAUCCAGUUUAUGUCAAUAUCUAACAUUUGUCACAUAGCUAAGAUAGCCAAAUAACCAAAGAUGACUAAUGUCUGGUUGCGUGCAAAAGAACAUCUCAAAUGGGGUGCAACCCUUUAAUAUUCUAGUUGGCAUGAGAUUAAUUAAAUAGGCUGUUGUGACCACAUAAUCUCUCCAAAAAUAUUCAAGAAUAGAAGCUUGAUAUUUUAGUAUGCGAGCAACUUCUAGAAGGUAUCAAUGUUUACGUUCAAUGAUUCCAUUAUGUUGGGGAGUAUAAGCACAACAACUCUCAUGGAGUAUACCUUGAGAGGACAGAAGAGACUGGCACUUAGUUGAGAAAAAUUCACUCCCGUUGUCUAUGUCAAUCCUUUGAACAUGUUUAUCAAAUUGAUUUUUAAUCAUGGACAAGAAUUUCAAUAGACAUGAAAAGUCUGACUUUUGGACUGCAUGAGAAAUACCUAAGUGGCACAAGAAUAAUCAUCUAUGAUGGUAAGAAAGAACUGGGAACCAUCACAAUACGGUGUAUGAUAAAGACCCUAAAUGUCCAUUUGAACUAGUGAGAAAAUACUACUGGCUCGAGACACACUACUUGAAAAUGGAGCUCUUGAUUGUUUUGCCAAAGGGCAUAUUAUACAAUCAAGAUAAGGAAAAUGAGUAACUAUGGCCCAGACGCUUUUGAGAAAGUGAAAUUUUAUUUCUAUUAACAGCAUUACAAGAAAUGCUUUUAUUUUAAGAGGAAAAAUCAAAAUCUCUAGGGAAGUUGAUCUAAAAAUGUAGCCUUGUUCCACUCUACCCAAGCCUAUCAGUUUUCCCAAUCGAAAUGUCAUGAAAGGAACAAUUUUUGCAAUGGAAAUUGGCUCAACAAUAAUCACCAGUGAUAUUUUUGACAUCAGUGAUAUAUCCAUUUGGGAGCCAAAUAGAUAUGGAGGAAUCAAGCUUUGUGUAGGUAUCAGAAAACAAAUAUUCAUUGCAAAUUAUGUGGUCAUUGGUGCUUGAAUCAAUAAUCCAACAUUAACUAAAAUUUUAUUAGUCUUUUCAUGAUGAAGUACUUGAAAAUUUUGUUGUCUUGUCGACUGUCUUUAACUGAUUCAAUGCCUUCAUGAUGUGCUAAUAUUAAUCAUGGGUAAUUGGCUAAUGAGCCUUGUCACUUCUUUGUGCUAACAUCUAAUAAGUAGAAAAUUAUUUUCCUUUAUUUUCUUUGUUAGUGGGCUUACCAUGUAAUUUCCAACAUUUCUCAAUGGUAUAUGAUGUGGACGCUGACAAUAUUCACAAUACUUACCCUUAAAUUUACAAUUUUGGCCUCCCCCCUUCUAUGAUGACGUGGCAUUAUAAUGGCCACUAGAUUAAGUCCCACAUGAGAUUAAACGAGAGCCAUCAAAUCCGUGACCUCUUCGUUGAUCUGUGCUAUCGAAUCGGUGGAAAUGUAGGCCAUCUCCACCAUUAGUAAGUUAUAGCGUUGUCUUCAUCUUCUUCAUUCUUGUUGGGCAACCGAGGGUUUCUUCCCGAACCUCCUAUUCACUACAAGGCGUGAAGGCCACCAUGAGAGUGAAACAAAAUCCUUGUCGGUGCAGCAAGAACCAUACUUUCUCCUCCCCCUUUAUGUCCGACAAUGGCUAGUCGCUGAUUUUCUUCUUGGACGGCUAGUUGGAAUACGUGGCCGAGCAUCAAUACUGGUUCCAUGGUGAGGAUAUGCGAACAAAAAGAUAUGUAGCUCUCAUUUAGGGCUAAUAGGAAUUAGGUCACAUUCUCUCGUUUUUUAAUCUCCAUGUAUUGCUUAAGAGUCAACUCUAACCCUUCAAGUUGCUCCUUAGCUACCUUGAGCUCAUUCUAGAGAGCCAAUAGACGGUUAAAGCAAGUGGUAACUGAGAGGUUCCCUUGCUUUAACUCAGAGAGGGCUUGAGUUUCCCAUACAUUUCCUUAAUGUUGUCCCACAUCAUUUUCGCAUCUUCAGUUGGGGGAAGCUCGGUCGCAACCUCUUGUGUCAAGCAAUUCCUAAUCCACAUGUGCACUAAUUGGUUGCAUUUGCGCUAAUGGCACUGCAUGCGUUCGUCAGUCGGGAAAGGGAUGGAUCCAUCAAGGAAUCCAUCCUUAUCCUUGGUAACAAGGAUCCACAGGAAAUCUCUCACCCAGGUUGAAUAAUGAUAUGGUCUAGCGAGUUAAAGAGUGAUCAGUGGUAACUCUAGCCCAUUAGCUAGUGACAUAUAAAGAGCUUCACCAAGUUUUGGUUUCUAGUGAUGGUCGAAAAAGCCAGCAGUGCGAACUCAGGUGAAAAACUCGGGUAGGGAUUCAUUCCCGAUCAACCUGGCUUCAAUUCGGGUUUGUGACCCAGAGUUGGGUCUAGAUCUCCAUUUGGGCCAUAGUUGGCCCACUGUUGAUUGGGCUCGGUGGCCCAUUGAUUUGGUCCAGUGGCCCAUGGGCCUUGAACUGAAGCCCACGGUACAUACGGCCAUGAUGCUAGAGCAGGGAGCUAGUUCAUGACUGAAGCAAAAGUAGAUGGGUGUUGAGCAACCUGCUCAACUUGUUCCGAAAUUUGAUUGGAUGAUUCUUGUAUUGUAGAAGAUUAGGUCGUGAAUUUCACUGUCGCUUGGAUUUUGCAUAUUGAAUGGAAGACUGAAUUCCUUUCCAAUGUACUAAUUUUGUCCUGCAAGUAGUGAUUUGCAGUAACAAAACAGAAAACAAUUGAAGGCAACUUAGGAAGAAGAGAAAUUUUUUUGCAAAAGGUAGAUUAGAAACACUGCUCUGAUGCCACGAAAAGAAAUGUGGAACAAUGGAGGAAAAAAUUUUCUAUAUAUUUUCAUCCUAUCAAAUGUACAAGUAUGCACCGAUAAUUGUAGCAUAGGAAAACAAAUCUGAAAUAAUAUACACACAAUAUUGUUUUUCCUAAAAAUAUUCCAUAUCUACGAUUUGUUAUAUCAAUCACAAGAUUAUAAUCUAAACAUAUCAAAUCACAUUCUUUCUCCAACAAUAAUCAAGAGAGAUCAACCCUUUGUCCAGGGAGAAAACAGAGCGAACACGAAAUCAACAGAAUGUGCAUGCACUUCCCAUUUGUGCUUCUUCUAUGUUGGCUUUGCUCUUAGAAUUCUUAUGACGAGCUAGUAUGGCCUCGGGUGCUAUCGUUGUCGUUUUUUAGUCUCUCUGUCACACCUCAAUCCUUGAGUGCAUAGCCAUCUCUCUCUAGUCAAUAAAAUUUUUGCGACUUCCCAAGACUAGUCGCCACCCUUUUUAUUUUAUUGCACAUGCGGAAGCGAAUAAUAAAUCCCUUGACAGUAACCAUCUCGGGAUAGAAAAGCAGGACAACAAAUUCACAAACAAACAUGCUUUAAUAUUCACAUAAAGUCAUGUACAAGGUCUAUGACCAAAAGACUACAACGACUGACUUUCCAAAAAGAAACAGUCCUAACUGACCCACACUUCAACCACUAGGAUUUGCCCCAGUGGCCACCCUUCCAACAUGGAAGGGGGAGGUGAGGGGCUCAAAUCCCCACCUUCUCAAGGGGGGAUGGGGUGGAGACUCAUGAGUUUCAAGAGUGGGUUUCGACUCCCACGCCCUGCAAGAGGCAAGGCAAAAGUCUGAGAGUGAGUGUAGAGUAAGGAUAGAGUAGGACUGGCCAAAAAAAAAAACUGACCCACACUUCCGAUCACCUCCUCUUGGCUCCAGGUCCUCCACUCGACGACCCUGAAAAUUUAACCCACGACGGUGUGAGAUAUAAAUCUCAACGAAUUUACGCUCUAAACCUCGAUUAGGAGAGAAAUACGCCUAGAAGCGUCCUAAUCAUACAAUCACAUAACCAUAGAAACUUACCCUAUCUCAGAUCCACCUAAUAGGUCAGCACAAUUCAUAUUAUAGGUAGUCACAAAAGCAUGAGCAGUAAAUAAGCUCCACCGACUGGAAUGCCACACUCAAUUCUCAAACCAGCACAGGGGUCCUGGUUAUAGAGCCAAAUUAUUAUGACACAUCACAUACCGUGCAACACAAUUUUGUCUCAUAAUCCGGCAUAUUCAACUCAAUUCAUCAUGCGUUCCUAGUUUUAAUCUCGACAUAUAGCACGGCCUACUCUCUGUUCGGCGGUCUUCUGGCAUUGCCAGGCAUUGUCUCAUCCCAUUGAGCACGGCAUGUCUCCAUUAGACGACUUUCUCGAAGGAGCAUAGGUCCAGAAUUUACUACGACCGGCUUUCCGUUGUCUAGGGGCAUCCCAUAUAGGGGUUACCGUCCAGCUCAAUAGCCCAGGACGAGUUCUCUUAACCAACACACCUCAAUUAAAAUGAUGAACCUUGCCUUUUUCUUUGUAUUAGAAUUACAUGGUAAAAUAGUUAUGUGUGGGUAUACGGUCAACUUGAACCAGAAAAAUUAAUAUCUUCUACUUUAAAAUCUCACUGUUCUAUAUAGUCUGUGAAACCAUUUUCGGUGUUAAAAUCAACACCCGGGAUUUUCUGAAUAAAUAUUAGAAAUUCAUAAGUUUUGGAAUUAAACACUCAAAUUUUCAAUCAGCACUCAAUUUGCGCAAUUUAACACCUAAUUGAAGAAAUUAACAACACCAUUGCAAUCAGCACGGAAUUCUGGUCACCGGCUAUCCCGGCCUAAUUUCUGGAAAUUAUUUAAUAAUUAAAUAAUUUCUAAAAUUAAUUAAAUAACUACAUUAAAUAUUUAAAAAUGCUAACUUAGACUGAAUAAUUCUAAUCUAACCACCUAUUGAACUAAUUAAAUUAUCCUAACCAUUCUAACUAUAAAACUACCUAACAGGCUAACAAAAUUUAAGCUCUAACCACCUAAUUCAAUAAUCUAACUAUCCUAAAUUAAUUAAAUAAACUAAAACUAAACUAAUCUAAACUUAAAGAAAUCUAAGCACCACUUAAAUGUCAUUAGCCAACUAAGAAGAGUUUAUUGCAUAAACUCACCAGUUUAUUGCGAAAACCGGUCCACCACGACAGUGGCACGACGGCGGCCAAAAACCGAAUUUUCGGCGGCGUCAACAGACUUGGACCAGGCCUAAAGCCGGCCCAACACAGCUCAGCAAAGCUGAACUUCGGCCUUGGGCUUCUGCAGGGGCUGCUGGUUGCGGGCUUGGGCUGACUUCAAGUGGGUUUAAAAAGACAAUUGCGAGCUGAGCUGGGCUUGUUCCGUGUGGGCUGCUGGCCCCAGAAUGAAUGCUGGAAAUGGAGCUGCUGCUGGGCUUCGUGAUGGGCUGAAUCUCACGUGGGCUGAAUUGGAAAGAAGUAGCUUCUGUGUGGCUUCAAAUGGGCUGCUGCUUUUUUCUGGAGUUGAGCGGUUGGCUCGGUGAAGAUGGGCCGUGAAGAUGCGGCCGAAUUGGAGCUGGCCGACUGGGAUUGCUGAGGAACACUCGGUGGAGGAUGCGCGGCAGGAACAAGCGGCUUCGACUCAGCAGCUGGGACAUGCGGCAGCUGGCACACGGUCGUCGAUGCUGGCGCACGAAAGGGAGAGUCAACUUCGGGGAGUGAAAUUUCGUUGGUGUUGACUCAGUGAGUGGGACGAUGAAAAAGAGAGAGAGAGAGAGAGAGAGAAGGCUGGUCGGUGAUGGCGUGAGAUGGGGGAUGAAAUGGGUGGCGAGAUGAUGAUGGUGAUGGGAGUAAAGGUGCAGCAACGUGAGAUGUAGAAGGUGGGGCGUUGGAUGAUGGGUUGGUGAUGAUGAUGGGGGAAAGAAAGAUGAUGUGGUGGAUGUUGGAUGAUGAUGAUGGUGGGAAGAGACGUGAGGAAGAAAUGAAAAUGGGGAUUAAGGCAGAAAGACAAAAAUGAAAGCGAGACCAGAAGCAGGAGGGGUCGACCGAUUGAAAAGCACGAAGAAGGAGGGCGGCGGUCUUGACUUGCUAGAGAAGCUGCCGAAGGAGGGAGCUCACAAUGUCUAUCCCUUCCAUUGAUUGCUUGGUCCCCUUAAACCCCUCAGACAUAUCCUUGAUCUCUUAAUACUUUCUUGAACAAUAAUACCACAAUUGAAUCAAUUUUUUAAGCCAAGGUUGCUGCCCAUGCCUAAUUUCGAAUUUCAUAACUUGAGCCUCAAUUUCUAUCCAAAUUUCCUCAAUUCAAUGUCCAAAUUUUGAUGAAGAUGAAGCCCACAAAAUUUCUACAAGUUCUUAUCACCAAAUAGCUUGACUUAGAAGUCCAAAUUCCCCUUCAAUUCGGCCCGUUCGGAAUUCCAUUAAUUUCCGAAUCGUCUGAAACGAUUUUUCGAAAAAUUCUUGAGAUCGCCAAAAAUUCUUAAGAUGAUGAGUCGACGUUCUUAAAAUGAAUUGUGACACGACAGAACUUUCAAUUUCUGAAAUCGGGUUCAACUUCAUGGUUAAUUUCAAUCUAAUGUGAUUUUAGCAUGACCUAGUCUAUCAUGUAGUUUUUAUGAAUUUUCGGUGCAAUUAACCUGUGAUCAAUUUAUCUCGAGUCACAAUGUACAUCUUCGAUACAUUGGUGACACUCAGUUGUCGUGAAAAUCUCAAGAUUUCAAAUACAGAUACUAGGUACAGAAAUAACAGAAAAAUUGGUCUAGUACCGUUCGACGAGAAUUUUGCAAUUAGGUGGAAUCACCCACGCACUAAUCACAUAUCUCCAUCGAAUCAACAUAUCUCUAAUCUCUGAUUGAUUUUUGAUGGUGUUGUAAUGACUCUUGCAGAUCAACACGGUCGCAGAUCAACACGGUCAAGCAGUCAAUUCAUCGUCGAAUUCUCAAGUCUAUUGCUUUAAAUCCCUUAAUGGCUUCUCCAGAUAGUUUAGUUAUUUCGUGAGUGAUCCACUCAGAGAAUAGCACUAUCGGCGCGUUGAUGAAAUGCCCGAUUUAUUUAAUCGAAAACAAAUUCUGAAAAUUCAGGCUGUCACACUCUCUGUCUAGUGUGAUUGCCCUCUCUGUUUAGUUCCCCGCAGGCAUCAUCCUUAGCAGAGACAUCGCCCGAAUUCACUUCCUUCUCGAAUUUUGUCAUCACAGCGGGUAGCAACUACUCUCGGCAAUCCCAUGAUUUGUUGGAUUCCAGGACUGGUACGAGAUAUGUGGACUAAAGAAGGACCAAGUAGUGGAAGCCGCAGGUGGUGCGGUAGAAGUCUUGCAUCGCGACGUUCCUCGACAGUGAGGACGGGGUAGAUGUCGUCCCCAUCUGAAUCUACUUCCUCCAUCUAUCACUCCUUCCUUCAUUCCUUCCCGAUUCUUCUUCCUCAGGAUCUUAUGCAGUUAAAAACGUUUUUCGGGGGAUUGAAGGGCUGGGAUAGAUACGUUGUCUAGACUUAAUCUCAUGAUGUGGAACUUCUUAGGAUUGAUAUUCAAGCAAAAUGCAAUCAUAGCGACAGAAACUGUGUUACUGUCAAUUUGUUUGGUGUUCUUAUAUAUGCAUCAUAUUUGUUUUUGCUUUUUCCAGGAAAAGAGCUAGGCCAACCACAACUGGGAGAGCGAUAUUGAGCAACUAGGCGUCCGGCAGAGGAGGCAUUCUGAAGGCAACUGGAAGAAUUUUCACCAGAACUCUUAGGGCACGCAUGACAACCAUUCUGUUCCAGAAAUAGUUUCUGGAACAGAAAUAGAUUUUUCUAUUUCUAUUUUUAGAAGAGUUUCUAUACAAAAAUAACCGUUUGAUAACGAUACAAAAUUUCUACUCUAAAAAUAGAAAUUCGUUUGAUAACGACACAAAAUUUCUUCCUUCCGGACGGCAACGGCGACGACUCACGACCUUUAAUAUAAAAAAUAAAAAUAAAAAUGAUUUAGUAACAAAAAAAAUAAUGAAUAAAAAAAUCAUAAAAAAUAAAAUAAAAAUAUCAUUUUAUUUUAAAAUAAAAAUAUAAAAAUAAAUUUAUUUUAUUUAUUCUAUUUUAUUUUAUUAUACGAAUAAAUUUAUUUUAAAAUGAAUAAAAAUAAAAAAUAAAAAAAAAUUAUUUGGCAAAAUGCUCAAGGCAAACAAAAAUAAAUUUAUUUUAAAUAAAAAAUAAUUUAUUUUUAUUUAUCAUAAAUAAAUUAUUUUUAAUAAAUUUAAUAAAUUUAUUUAUUUAUUUAUUUAUUUUACGAAUAAAUUUAUUUUAAAAUGAAUAAAAAUUAAAAAAAUAAAAAUAAUUUUAUUUGGCAAAACACUCAAGGCAAAUAAAAAUAAAUUUAAUAAAUUUAUUUUUAAUAAAUAAAAAAUUAUUAUUUUUAUCAUAAAUAAAUUAUUUUUAAUAAAUUUAAUAAAUUUAUUUAUUUAUUCUAUUCUAUUUUAUUUUACGAAAGGCAAAUAAAAAUAAAUUUAUUUUUAAUAAAAAUAAUUUUUUAUUUAUCAUAUAUAAAUUAUUUUUAAUAAAUUUAAUAAAUUUAUUUUUAAUAAACUAAAAAUAAAACAAUAAAUAAAAAUAAUUUAUUUAUUUUUAUUUUUAAAUGAAUAUAUUUAUUUUUAUUUAUUUUUAUUUUUAAUAAAAUGAGGAGAGGCGAAGGAGGAGGAGGAGGCAGAGACGUAGAGGAGAUGAGGGAGGACUCACCGAAAUUAGGGUUUAGUGAGAAAAAUUAUUUCUGAUUUCUCUUCCAGAAAUCAGAAGUAUAAAAUUUUAACUUCUGAUUUCUCUUCCAAACCUAUUUCUGGAAUAGAAAUCUAUUCUAUAAAUAGAAAAACUGAUUAUGUUUAUCAAACGGAUUUCUUUUCCAGAAACAGGUCUGGAACAGAAAAACUAUUUUUGGAACAGAAAUUUUGAGUUGUCAUGCACCCCCUUACCCUCUCCUUAAUAUCAUGAGAGAAUAUGCAUGAUUCUGCACUAAUUGAUUGAUAUGCGCAAGGAUUUCUUGUGCAGGUCAAUAGCCCGAGCAUGGAUAUCCUAGUGGAGAACUUCACAAUGCAACAGAUUAAUAUUGCUAGGCUCAUACAAGGCCGAGCAGUACAGAAUGAGGAAAAUCCUAUUUUUCCAUCACAGUGGCGCAAAUUACAUCCUGAACAAUUACAUGAACCGGCAGGUAAUCUCUCUACGUUAACACAGAUGAACUUGCCAUGCCAUGCAUAAUUUCUCUCCUAUGUCUGCUCCUGCUUAUGGGGAGGAAGGACGUACAUAUUCCUCCACAUAGACUAAAAAUGAAAAAUAGAGAAAAAGAGACGGCAAAAAGAAAACGAAAGAACAGCAGAGAAUCAAUUACUAUACCCUUCCUGCCACUCGAAGCCAUCAGCUUUAAGUGCGUCCCUUAUCUCCAUUUGGGAUCAGGCCACGAAUCCCACCCUUUAAAUCUCCUAGGGCAGCUAAGAGUGCAUUUGGUAACAUUUCUGUUCUGGAGAACAACUUUUAAAUAGAAAUAGUUUUUUUUUUUUUUUUCUGUUUCAGGGAACAAUUUCUAAGUUUAAGAAUGCGUUUGAUAAUUGCAAAAAAUUUCUACUCUAGGAACAUAAAUGCUCUUUGGUAAAAGAGCAUCAACAAUUGAAACCGCAUUCCGUAUACUUCUUUGCAACUCUCAUGGCAGCUAAAUGCUCGCUGUAGCACUCGAAAAGGCGAAGCCUCCUCUGUUCGGAGACUUGAACAAGCCUUGCGAGAUCGGUGGGAUGGGGAUCGGCCAUCGGUUUGUCUUUUGGUUUUUGAGAAGAGGAAAACAGCAGGGGUGAAUUUUCACUCUUGUGCGCUUUAUAUUAUGCGCUCUGAUGAGUUUCUGGCCUUUAGAUAUGCCCGACCGAUCAAGGAAUUUAUGUGGAACUUUGUAUUUCUAAACAAAAUCUUGAGACAAAGAUUUCGAUACUUCCACAUGACCACAUCCACAUAAAAACACUUUUUUCCCUUCCUUCUUUGGAAUAUACAAGAAUAAAAUAAAACAGAAAAAUAGGGAGAAUAAAAAUUACUAGUAAAUGUGUAUAAUAUAUACCUAUAUAUAACAUUCCCUACCCUAUUGCCAAAAAGAAAAAGGAAAGAAAGAAAUCUUUAUUAACAAGUUUCUGUCAAAGAAUUUGUUAAACAUAUUUAAUUAGGAAUAUUCAAAUUUCCAAGAUUGAGAUUUGAAAGCCGUUGACCAUCCUUUGACCGAAUAUUUGCUUUGCAACAGGAGACAAAAGCAGACAGAAGAGGACUAGACGAAGAGUAGUGUGUUCACAAAAGUGAAAUGACCUUGGUCGGCAACCGAUUGUUUGAGAAGCUCAACGUUACUAUAGACCAAUUGAAUCGGCCAAAGUAUAUCGCCAGAGAAAGUUAUGCCAUCAUGGUGUCGAAUUCCGGCAAAAAUAAUUGAAAGAUGCCAUGUGAUGUUCUUGCAAGGAAGAGUGGGAGCAUCAGUAUAGACCAAUUUAAUCGGCCAAAGGAGUAUUAACCUUGUUUAAUAGAAGAAAAAGGUCAAGAGGAACUUCGUCACUUGCUUUCUAAUUUUUCCAACGUGCGCUUCUUUUUGUGAGUGUUUGAGAAAUCUGAUAUUAAUGAUUUGGCCCGUCUCUAAAACAUGCGACUUCCUUAACGCUAACAAAUGAAGCUGAGUUCCAGAAUUCUUUAAUGUUAGAUUAAAGGUGUGUUCGUUUAAGGUAAAAAAAAAAAAAAAAUGCUUAAAGUUAAAAAAAAAAAUGAAUUUCUUAACUCUCUUUUGUUUUUUUUUUUUUUUUUGUUCUACUCUACUCAUACUCUAACUCUCACUCUCACGCGUGGAAGUCAAAACCCACACUUAAAACUAAAUCAUCCCCCCCCCAACUCUUUAAAAAAGGGGGGAUUCGACCCCCCCCCCCCCCCCCACCUUUCUAACUUGAAAGAGGGAAAAGGAUUCUUGGAAAAUGAUUUUAAUAAAGCAUUCUCCUUCAUUAUGAAGUUUUCCUUCAUAUAAACACUCUCUAAUUAAAUUUGACACUAUGCUCUCAUUAUUUCUUCAACAAAUGAUCAUGUAGUGGAUGGCAAGAGAACAGGAAAAGUACAAAAAAAGUUAUAAACAUAUUAUAUUAGUACCAAUUCAAUCAUGAAUAUUUUAAUUUGAUCAAUUUAAUCAUAAAUAUUUUCUCAUUAGUACUACUUCAAUCCAUCCUACCAAUUUAGGCAAGAAAUUGCUAAUGUAGAAGACGAUGGUCCUACAUGGUGUACUCAACAUUGACGUGGACCAAUUUUAAAUGAUAUAUUAUUUUUCUAAAUUUUUAAUUAUUUUUCUUUUAUUUUCUCUUUUAUUUUCUUUCUAUUUUUACACUUUUGGCCACGCAAGAUUGCUAGCCGACCAUCCCCAGCCAUAAGCUAGGGCCCACGUGCCCUUGCCAACAAUAGUUGAGUGCUGCCGCACUUAAUAAAUUCAAGAGGUUAUUUUGGUGACUAAUUGCCUUUUGCUUCUAAGAAACUAAUUGCCUAAUUAGCUAAAGCUUUUGAAGCUAAUGAAUCAUCGUAGGGUUUCUUUUAGCUAUAGUUUUGCAAAGGAAAAAUUAUCCAAUCAAUGAUACACCUAUUAUACGGAUGCCAAUUCAUUUAUAAAUUUUCUAAUUUUGUCACUUUAACCAUAAACCUUUGACGAAAUUGCAAUACAAUUAUUUUGGCUAUUUUUUGCCGGAAAUCACUAAUGUGGCAAUUCAAUUAUCGUCGGCAAUUCUACAUAGCACAUCACCAUGGCAAUGAUUUAGUGAAAAUUGACCUAAAUGACUAUAAUGAAAUUUCUUGCAAAGUUUUAGGAUAAAGUUAGUAAAAUUGAAAAGUUUGUAAGUGAAUUUACAUCCGUACAAUAUUUUUAGGAUUGAUUAGACCAUUUUUUCAUUCCAAAACCCUAAGAUAUACCAUAUAAAUACACGUUGAAUGAGGAACAUUACAUGGGUGUUGUUGCAAAUGUAUCACGGUGAAUCCGAAUCAUCAAAAAGUAGUAGAGUCUCAUGUGGGUCCCACCAGUCUAGUUCAAACUUGACUUAGUAUGUAUACUGAGUUAAAGGGAAAAUUCCAAAAAUGGACCCGAAGUGCCAUUUUUUUCUCAAAUAUCAAAGUAGACUUUAUUUCAAAUAAAAACAUGAAAUGACUUUAGUUGUUUCAAAUAAGGGCCUAAAGUGAUUUUAAUUGUUUCAAAUAAGGACCAAACCUCAUCAGUUGCCGGCUGACUAAAUUUUCCAACCGAUCAAAGGUAUUUUCGUUAUUUGGCAUUUUCCUCCUCUUUUUCUUACUUUUUUUUUUCUUUUGGUUCUUCUUCUUUCUCUUCGCCAGUGGCCAGCCGACCACUAGCAAUGCCCACAGAGGGCUAGGCGAGAGUCGCCCUUGUCCGAGGGCCACCCACGCCUGCCACAGGCGAGGGACAGCCUCGCUUGGGCGUGGCGACCCUCACCUAGGGGCUAUCGAUGAGAUUGGUCCUUGUCGGCCUUAGCGAGGGUGGCCUCGCCGGCAAUCAGCGAGGGCUAGGUGACCUCACCGGCCACAAGUGAGGCUGACCCUCGAAGAUUUGGUGAGGGUGGUCUCACUCACGAUCAACGAGGGCUAGGGGACCUCACCGACCCCUAGUAAGGGUCUGCAAGGCCACCCUCACCGGCUGUGGGCAAGGGAUCAGUCUCGCCUAGGGCCGGCGCAGGCCGACCUCGCAGAUGGCCCCUAGGCGAGGGUUGCCUCACCUAGGUGAGGCUGUCCUUCGCCUGUGUCUUGCAUGGGUGGCCCUUGCUAGCGAGGGCAACCCUUACCCAGCCCUCAUGGGCAUUGCCGGUGGUUGGCCGGCCACCAGCUAAAAGGAAGAAGAAGGACCAGAAAAAAAAAAAAAAGGAAAGAAAAAAAAAGGAAGAAAAAAUGGGACGAAUGACAAAUGACGAAAAUACAUUUGACUGUCAGAAAGUUAGGUUCUUAUUUGUAACGGGCAUAGCUACUUCAGGCUCUUAUUUAAAACAAACAUAACUAUUUCAGGUCCUCAUAUAAAAUAACAUUUACUUCAAACCUUUAUUUGAGAAAAUAAUAACACUCAAGGUCCUUAUUUAAAAUAAGAUCUAAUUCAGUUCUUUAUUUGAGAAAAAAAUGAAACUUCAAUUCCCUUUUUGGAAUUCUCCCUCGAGUUAAUUGAAUAACUCUCCAUGAUGAAUAAAGUACGACGUCAUGAUCGGUUCCGCCGGCCUUUUUGUCGCAUUCGAGACGUGUUCCGUGGAGAAACUUGGUUGAUCGGGUUUGGUUCGGACGAUUGAAGCUAAUGAAGGACAGGAGAUUGAUUACAACGAAUGUGGACACGAAAGUUACAUCGGCUUCCAGGCAUUUAAAUAGAUAACGCCACAAUUCAAGGUCCAGAAAAGUCAUCACAGAAGCGUCCGAGACAUUGAAGAAAAAAGGGUGGACCCAAACUCGACCUCGAAAAGAAAGUCCACGGUCAAAUUUGGCACAUACGAGAGAGCCAAUGAAUCAAUCCAACUGAUAAAUUCAUUGCCACCAAAAAUGAAUCAAAACCCUAAUUAAGGUCACAUGCAUCAAUUUAAUAACAAUUACAAUAGUAAUCAUGAUGACGACAAAGAUUUUAUGAAUAAAUACUUUGGAGGCAUUUAAUAAGCACCUAUUUAAAAAUUAACAUUUUCUAAAGGAAAAAAUUACUAAAUAAGUCAUAAAUCUAUUACAAUUAUAUAAAUUCGGUCAUAGACCUUUCUUUUUUAUCAAUUGAGUUCUACACAUUUUGAAUUUCUUUUUCUUUUUUACUGUUAAUUUAGUAAUAGUUAGGAGUUAGCCAGAUGGACUCAAUUAGCAGAUUUAUAACUUAAUUGGGGGAAAAAAAGGUUUAGAACUGAAUUAACACAAUUGUAAUAAGUUUAAAACUCUUUUAGUAAUUUCCUAUUUCUAAAGCUUUCUCCUCGUGCAAACAAGUAAUUUUUUGGUAUUCAAAUUAUUCUAAUUUAAGUAUACUCAAUCAAUUUUACAGGACACUCAUCGAAGUGGCCAAUAAUAAUAAUAAUAAUAAUAAUAAUAAUAAUAAUAAUAAUAAUAGUGUUGAUGAUUGAAGAUAGACGAGCUAGGGAUUUGAGAACGCUUGAGUCGGUCAAAGAAGACAUUGUCAGUCAAUUAGGAGUCUGAAACAAGUUUGUGACCCUUCAAUUUCGGAUGUUGCUCCCACAAACUGAUGAGCUCAUCCAAGCCUGAAGUGAAAACCUCUACUUCUAGUAUCGAAAUGCCCAAAAAUGGCCAAGAAAAGAGUCUUGAAAAAUAUUAUAAAAAGAGCAAGAUUACGAUAAAUAUAUAUGUGAUUGUUAACCAAAAGGAAAGAGAAAGAUUACGAUAAAUAUGUAUGUAAUUGUUAACCAAAAGGAAAGAGAAAACAUUCAACAUUUUCCCUUAAGAUAUUCUGCCUUAUGCGGUUUUUUUUCUUUUUCUUUUGAUGCAGUGAGUAAUCGAUUUUGAAACUAAUCUCUGGAGAUGUUCGAGAUACCGAAAUGGGUCGCAAAUUGAGAGAGAGAGAGAGAGAGAGAGAGAGAGAGAGCUAGACUUUAAGUACGAUCCAGAAAAUAAUUUACAUGGGUUAUUUAUCACUCGAGCUUCAAUUCUUGAAUUGGAAAUCAAACAUUGGAUUCACUGUGAAAUCAUGAUACAUAUCUCUCGUGCUAACUUGUUGUAACUGUUCAAUGCCUGCAAAUCGUUUUGAAAAGUUGAAGUGUAUUGGACGUAUUCAAAAGCUAUUGCUUUAAGUGACUUUUAUUAUAAGGAUUAAUAUUAUGAAAAUCCAAAUUUAUACAUUUGUGACACUUUUUCCUUAAACUAAUUUUUUAAAUACAAAAAACCCCAAACUAGUAUAUUUAUAAUAAUUUUACUACAAACUAAUUUUUAACUACCAAAAAAAUCUAAACUUGUAGAUUUGUAACAAAUUUACCCUUCAUUAAUUUUUGUUAAAUUACUGACCAAAAUUUUUUUUUGUUAAAUUAGAUCAAUAUCUCAAAAAAUCACAAAUUGGUACAUGUGUGAUAAAUUCAGGAUAAAACCAAAACUAGUACAUCAUAAAUUGUCACAUAUUAUCUAAUUCUUAAAUUUUAUUAUAAAAUUUAAUAGAAACUAACAUAGGAUAAAUUAUUUAUAUGUAUACCAUAUUAGGGUUUUUUGUAGUCAAAGAAUUAAUUUCGAAUAAAUUUGUCAUAGAUGUAAUAAUUUGAGAUUUUUUUUUUUUUUUUUUUUUGGUGCUGGAGAAACCGGCUUGCAGCCGAUGGCCGCGCCGUAAACCCUCAGGUGACACUUAAGCAAGAGGACCCACCACCCCUGAGUCGCAUUUAAUACACCUAGCGUCUCCCCUGGGUUUUGAACCCUUCACCUCUUCGUUGAGGAUCAUCAGAGUCUUAUCCAGUGGAGCCACCGUGGCCGGUGGUUAUAAUUUGAGAUUUUUCGUAGUAUUAAUCCUAAUAAUAAUUUAUGCCAAUUCAAGUUCCUUCCCUUCAAGUAUUUCUCCUCCUCCAAACACACCAAGAUCAUUAAUCCACACCUUUUUCAUCUUUACCUUGUCCGCGCGUUGCUGCAGUUCAUGAAAGCAUAUAUCAGCAUUAUGCAUCAUUAAUUGUCAAUUUGUUUCAUCAAAUUUGAAUCGUCGAUUGAGAAUCUUUCACCAAACAGAUUUAUGUUCAUUUUUUGUUCUGGGGAACAAAUGUAAUGAUUACCGGCAGGAAUUAUAUCAAUAGAACAUAAGUAACAAAUAUACUUCAACGGAAUUUAAGCAAUCAUGAAACCUAAUGACAUGAAAAGUUUUGCCAGAAUUUAAUCAAUAACAAAAUGUAAUGAUAAAAAUACAAUGUCGAAAUUUAACCAAUGACGAAGAUAUCUAUAAUUAUGACUAAAGUACGGAAAUUAAAUAAGUAAAGAUUAAAGAUAAAAUCGCGAGAACUUUUACUUCUUAGAUUGAUUGAUAGAGGGGUAUAAAGAGUAGAUGAUUGUUAAAGGUAUACAAAGAAUAGGUGUGGUUAUUUAUAGCCCACACUAGACAGUAUAUAUAGCGGUUACAAUUUUGGAGUUCAGAUAAUAAAUAACUUCUUAACGGUGGUUACAAAAAUUUGUAUUAUCCAUUAACUCUUUUUAUAUAGAAUAAAUAUCCAUAAGAAAUUUAAAAUCCCUAAAUUAGCAGCAACAAAAUAUAUCUACUCAGGAGUUAUGUCUUCCUAUCGAUUGCUAGCUGUUGAUGAUUUUGUCAUCAAUUUCUUUGGUCUUGAUUAAAGUUCUUGUCAAUAAUUGAUGUUGUUUAUGACUUCAAUAACAAGUGGUUGAUUACCUCAAAUUGUUGAUUGUUCUGUUCAUUGUUGACCAAACUCUGCUAUUAUUUUUUGAUGGUGAUGAACAUGACCUAUAUUUCCCCCUUUUAGGCAAGAUUAGCAUCAUGCAAGGAAAUACUUCCUCCAUUUCGCAGUAGGUUUAGAUAACUCUCGAGAAUUUAGAUGACCUAAUUCCCUUUAAAAAAAAAUCCUCCAGUUUAUGUCUAAUUUCAAUUUUGCCAUGAACUAUAUUUUCAUAUAGAAAGAUUCCCUCAUUUUUCACUCUGGUAUCAAAUCUGUUCACUCGUUAAAAAAUAGUUUCAUAUAGAAAGAUUCCCUCAUUUUUCACUCUAGUCUCAAAUCUGUUCACUCGUUAAAAAAAGUUGAUAAUUUUUGCAAAAUUAUCAACAUUAAGGCCUAAAGAAUCAUCAUUAAAAUCCAUGUCUUCAUCAAUACCAUCACCUUCAUAUAGAACAACGAUAGCCUCCUAAUAUUGAUAAUCUUGAAAAAACUCAUGGCAAUUUUUCAACAUGAGGAUAGAUUUAAGAUAAGCAUGAAAGUUAGCGAUUGAUAUUCAAUCGAAAAAAAAAAUGCCUUGGGUGGAGUGGAGAUUAGACUUAAAGUUGGGGGUUUAUGAGGGAAUUAGCUCGAAUUUAGAUUGAUUUGCCCAAUGUCACGUCAUACGGUGGAUUUAAAAAGGGACAUAAUCUACUUGAAUUGAACCGGGCCAAGUGUCUUACUAAAACGACGUUGAUCAGCGAGGUGGCUGUGCAUGCUCAUGGAGGCCCAUACACAAAACAAGCUCGAUCCAAAGGUUACAAUGCAUCAAAUUUGAUAUGAUUAACGAAUUUGGGUUGGAUUGAAAACGAAAUUGGUCCGAUUCCACUCUAAAACCAAAACUAUUUAAAUGGUUUCAUUUAUUUCACGGAAAGUUAAUGAUUCGAAAAAUAUUUUCUUACAAUGAUCAUUUGUAUUCCCUGGAAUAAUUAGUCAAUGGAAGAUAUCUUCAUUAUCAAUGAUUAAUUUAUAUUCAAAUAUUUUUGUGGAUGAUGGUGAUAUUGUUCAUUCAUUUUUUUAAAUCAUUCAUUUUCAUCAAACGAUAUGAAAGUAAUCGGAUUAACUACUUGUUAACCACUUAUGAAGAAGGGUAGUUUCUGAUGCUUCUUCAAAUUCACCUACUCUUUCUUCCUAGUUCAUACUCUCCUCUUUAAAUUUUUUUUUUCAUUUUAAUUUUGUGUUUAUAUUCACUAAAAUAUUUUUAGGCACUGUUUAGAAAUACGGUAUUUUAUGUGCUUGACGCAUAACAAAAUACACAUAUGUUGGAGAGCACCUUGCGAGAAUAGAGGUCGAUGAUAUAACGCGUUUUUUGGAUCCACAUUACAGUGCACUCAAUGUAACUUUUAUUUUACAUGCACGAGUUGCCAAUUCUGAAAAUAAAAUUAAGAAGGCCUCUUUUAUAGUUAUUGUACAAAAAUUCCUAUCGAUUUUAUGUUAAUUUGACGUCUCUCGAAUCAGCUAUAUCUGUACUUCUUCCCUUAUUGGGGAAAAAGGUGGUGGUUUCUUUUCAUAAAAGAAUAUGUUUUUAAUUAGCUAGAUCGAAUACGCAAAUUAUAAAUAUAAAAAAAGUGAUCCCCAAACUUUUUUUUUUUUUUUGUGCGAUGUCUAACUUAUUAGAAAAGCCCUAUUUCAAAAGAUUAAAAAAGACAAGGAGUAUACUAGAUGCAUAUUCACUCCUCUUGCUAAUAGCGAGACAAAAAUUGCAUUUCCAUAAAAUAUUCUAGAACCAAAUCAAACAUUUUUGCGCAAAAAUGAUAAAUAUGUAUAUUUAUCGUUACUCCCUUUAUAGAAUGUUCAUAGAAUGUUCAUUGCAAGAUUGCUCAUGAUACAUCUUUUAAUUUAUAUAUAAAAAGAGAAAUUGGAUCGAACCGACUCAGAUUGAAUGCGACAAUAUAGUAUCAAAUACAAUGAUAAUUUCUUUUGACAAAAGAAAUUUCUAUUCAUUACCAAAAUAAUAGAUGAAAUGAUUCAUAGGAGAUCUCAAAAUUUAUUAUGACAAGGCAAUCCUGUCGAUGAUAUUCGAAACAAAUUGCACCCCUUAAUAGCAACUAACUCCAACAGUUCGUGAGAUUGGAUCCAUUCAGCAGAUAUAGAGGGCGGCCUCGUUUUAUUUUUGUGGAAAAUACCUACUCUUAGAUCAGCCAACACAUACCCCAAAUCGGAAAAGGUAGCUAAAAAAUAAAAGAAAAAAAUCAACCAAACUCAAGCGGCGCAUGUGGCACACGUGCAGCCAUUGCCACAACGGCAGGUGCCGGUGCCGGUGGCGACCUCCGUCUUGGCGCACGGGCAAGGGUUGCAGCUGCAAUGCGCGCCGCACGAGCACCGCUUGUGAGCUUCGUCUCCGUCCGAGGCCCUGUUGACCGACGCGCACCUAUUCAAAUUAAACGUUCGAUCAUUUCUUCAUGUGGAUGCACAGUUCAAUUCAACUCGAGAUUAAAAGGAUAUUGACAUAAAUGCGGACAGUGCAUAAUUAAGGCAUCACAAUUAAUCAUAACAUACAUCUAGAAAGCAUCCCAAUUGAUUUACACAUGAUCCCACCGGCCCAUCAUAUAUAGGUGUAACUAAGGCAUGGCAUUGAGUAUUAUGAAAAAGAUAGAGCAAAGUCUCCAAUGAUGCACACCUACAAGCGCCGCGGCCGGGACAGGGGUUGGGACAGCCGCACCGGUCGUUGCAGCCGGCCGUGGUUCCGCUCCGAUCCGCCAUCUUCUUCAGCUCUUUCUCCGUUUCCUUUUUGGGCUGUGAGGGACCGUGCAACACCAAACGCCGCCAUGGAAGUGAAGCUCUUCUGGGAAUUUAUAGGAGGGAGGGUUUCUCAGUUGUGCAUGCUUCCUCGUCCCACGUGGCAUGCCAAGUGUCUCAAGAUCCUCCGGCGAGCUUGACGGCAGGUUCCGCCGCUAAAGGCGGCUGAGAGUUGAGAUUAUAAAGGGUCUUCCUUUGAUCGAUUGAAUGAACCAACGGAGUUAAAUAAGCUUUGCCGUUGUUUCAAGCUGAUCAAAUCAUUUGUAAAUAUAUUCAGUUUGACCAGAUUAUUGGCCAGGUGCAUUGUUUAAAAAGUUCAAAAUAAAUUUAUUAAAAUCAACACAUGUCGAUUGUAACUUCAGGAUUUUUUUUUUUCCAAAAAUUCAAGCCCAAUGAAUAUUAGGUUUCGAUGGACGAAGUCAACGAGCAACAUAAGCACAGGAAAUUAUAAAGUUUUAGGAAAAGAAAAUUUUCAAAAUAGAGUUUUCGCCAAAUAGUUUGCAUCAUCUCUGAUCAAAUUAAUGUCUAAUUAGGUUUUUCCAUGGAUUAAUGCCCUAAAAAACCCUAAAUCGGCACACUUACGAAAAAUUUAUUUCAAAUUAAAUUUUUGACCGUCAAAAAUUCCAAAUUGGUACACAUUUGACAAAUUUACCACAAACUAGUAUAAUUAUGACAAAUUUACCAUCUAUUAGUUUCCAUUAAAUUUUACUAUCAAAUUACAAAGUUGAAUGACACAUAACAAUAAACUAGUAUAUCAGUUUGAGAUUUUAUUCUCCGUUUGUUACAGUUUUACACUUUUUGUAAUUUUUCAUAGUAUUAAUCUAAUUUAACGAAAUGUAUAUUUAUUGCAAAUGUAUCAGUUUGUGGUUUUUGGUGGUUGAAUAAAUUAGUUUGGGGUAAAUUUAUUACAAGUGUACUAGUUUAAGGUUUUUUAUUAUUAGUUGGUGUAAAUUUGUCACGGGUGUACUAGUUUGAGAUUUUUCAUGAUAAAAAAAAAUGAGUUUUAGGUAAAUUUGUCAUAAAUGUACUUGUUUAGAGUUUUUCAGGGUAUUGACCUUUUUUCCAUAGAAUAUUAGGUGUAGUUUGAUCAAUUUCUAAAUAUCCUCUAGACAUGUAAUGCAUGUAUUAUAUGAUUACUGCCCAUCAUCGCAAGGGCGGUGCUAUUUCACCCCCCUCUACGACUAAAUUUACCCAGUUUUCAACAAAAAAGAUAAAAUUACCCUCAAUCAUUCAAUUGUAAUAUAGAGCGAUAGUCCUAAAUUUGUUUACUCUUCCUUUUUAGUUUUUCUAUUUCUCUAUAAGAUCUAAUUGUCAUUAUUAAGAAUUCCACAUAUUUUGGUUUUGUUCAUUGUGGGCACUAUUUUUUCCUUUUAAUGUUAGAGUUUAUUUUUGUAGAAUUUAGUUUUGGUGAAAAGAAGAAUUUCAGUAAAUUUAAUUUUUUUCUAUAUUGUCGAGUAAAACGCCCAUUUUUCACUAAAGCUCGAUCAUUUAAUUAAAAAUUGUAGCAGUGGCCACAAUCCUUUAUUAAUUUAUUUAUAUUCUAUAUAGAAUUUAGUUGCCAUAACGAAGCAUUUGACAUGUAUUACUUUUGUAAAUUGUGGGUACUCCAUGCAUAUUAAGGGCACUAUGUUACUCAUACAAAAAAGAAAGGCACUAUUUUCCUUUUUAUUUUUAGAUUUUACUUUCAUAGAAAUGAGUUUUGUCAAAAAGAUAAAUUUCCAAAAAGUAUAUAUAUGAACUCUCUUAAUUUACUACAUCAAAGAAUUGCUUUCCUUGAAAAGGAGGUGACCCGGCAACAUUUUCCAGUAUGACUACCUUAUUUAAGACUUCACUUCAAUCCCUAACCCUGCCGUCCCCCAUAGACUGAGGAGCAAAAGGAGGAAUCUGCCAAAGGUGGGGCUUGCGCUUGAUUAGCUAGUUGGUGAGCUUUAGCAUCAGUGACAAUUUGUUCAAGGUUCCAAACUCAGUAAUGACAACUAAACACGAGGGUUGCACUCAUUACAUGACUUAACCCAACACGAGCUGACGACAACCAUACACCAGAUGAAUCGAGACAAUAUUUUGUAAAAAUGCAAUCAUCUUGAAUAGAGUGGGCCUAUAGCUCAAAGGAUUAGAGCAUGUGGCUGCAAACCUUGGUGUCAAGGGUCAUUUUUGGAUCUAGACCAAAUAGGUUCAAGAGAUGAGAGAAUUAAGGACACCCAUUACAAAGACUAAUCCAACUUUAACAAAAGGGUACCUUGUACCUAAAAUCGACACAAGUGGAUAAGCUGUUUCGUUUCCAUUGCAGAAAUAAUUUUACAUAGAGCAUAUAGGAUGAUAUUAAGUUUUAUCCAUCCAAAAUUAUGAGAUUUCAUUGACAUUUUUACAAGAAUUUCUUAUUAUAAGAAAUGCUUUGAUUUAAUUAAAAUUUCAUCUUUUAGAGUUUUACAUUAGAGAACAUAACAAAGAGGUUUUUUUAUGUCUCUGUAUAAAGACAACCGAUAAGAAAAGGUCUAAUGAUAAUAUGCACUACAAAAGUGAAAGUUAAUAAACACAUAUUGUAUUACAAAAAUUAUAUUGCAAAAUUUUUCUAAAUUCUUUAUGACAAUCCAUUAAUUUAGGAUUACCACUUUAAUUACGACUAAAUGAUUGAGGGUGAUCUGUCUUUUUAGUGAAAAUUGCACGGAUGCAAUCAUAUAAAGGGUGGAAAUAGUGCCGUCCAAUCGAAAUAUCUACAAAUAAUUCUUUCAGCCCUUAAACAUUUUCUUGCUGAGGCUUUUCCCUAUUGUCACAUGCCUUCCUGUAAUUAGUAAGAAAAUUCUCGAAUUUCCAACUAUUAAUAAAGCAUAAAGAACCAAUACAUUAAAAUUGUAAUAUCUUGUCAAUUAAUUAUUAAUUGGUGUCAUGAGGUCAAAGUUUAGCAAAAUCUUAUUUUCGUAAUUCGUAAAGUCCAGUGAGUGUUUUUAUGCGUGACUAGCAAUUCCAUCUAAUUAUCUUCCUUGAUGGACUGCCACACACUAUACUCAUAGAUUGACCUUCGAAUGUGCCAAAUGGACACAAACCCAUUCUAAAGUGGAUUAAUCGCUAAGAGUCUAAUCCUCAAACUCGCGAAAUUUGGACUCCCGAUCACUUGAAAGUAAACUCUUACCCGCUUGAGCCGCUACCUUUGCGGUUGUAAGAUUAUGCGUUAUUCGAUCAUGUCCACAGUAGUUGAUAGUUGAUGGAUCAGGCAAAUGUAAGUGCUCAAAUGCACAAUUUUUUUUUUUUAACGUGAUUUCAAGCAAGACGAAGGGAAUUUUAAACUUUCUUGACACUGCCCAUGCCCAUGAGCCGAAGUACCUUUUCCUCCUGAUGAGCAUUUCCUCCAAGUGGUUGGAUGCACAUGUCAUUCUUUCUUUUCUUAGCAAAGGCCAAACCAGCAUUGAUUGGGAUGUUGGAUGAGGAAAAUGGGAGUGAAAGCUACCUUUCCAAAAAAUUUCCCUUUGUCUUUGUUUUUUGGUCGAAUUUCCGUUUGCCUUUAAAAUCUCCAAAACGGUGCUCCAUAAUAAAUUUAACACGUACUAAUUUUCAUCUGCCAAAAUAUCGCAAGCUAAUAUUUGUAACAUGUUUGCUUCUAAUUUUUGUUCCACAAAAAAAAUCCAAACUGAUGUCACUGACCCAAAUUUACUCUCCAUGUCCCCAACCUACCAACAUAGGUCAAAUUUUUAUAAGAGUACGACUCAAGAUUUUUUGUAAGAUAAAAAUUAAAUUGGAAUAAACGUGUCAUGAGACUGAUUUGGGAUUUUUCAUGAGAUUAAAAUUAAUUCAAGAAAAAUGUGUCAUGGAGUACUGGUUUGAGAUUUUUAAUUUUAUUAUCCUUUGUAUAAAAAAUAAUUACUUUCAUUUUAACCACAAAACCUUCAUUUUUCACCAUUUUGCUCCCCUCCAAGCACGCAACAAGCUGUCCAACUCAAGCUGGGGAAAGGGGAAAGUGAAAGACAGGAGGACAGCCCUUCUUCUUUUUUUCCUCUCUAAUCCAAGGACCAAUAAGUGGGGCCCACCUCUCAUGGACCCGAGAAUCAAAGUACCAAAGGUGUCUUGCUUGGUUUUAGAGAUGUUGGGGAUAUUUUUCCCCAUCGUCCUUGACUGUUUUGCACAGUGCAAUCGAAUUUGGACAUUCAUGUGGAGUGUACAUCGAAAGUGGGAAUCGCCAUUCCUACAAAUAAUGAUGAUAUGAAACAUUACAAUAGACAUAUCAUAUAGAAUUGUGAUAUCACUUUCUUUUGUCUACUUGCAACGAAACGGAAUACACACGCUAAACUCAAGAUGCAUUUUCUUUGAUUUAAGCGUGCACGUAUCAUUUAAAUUCACGUGAUUCCGAAAAAUAUCAACAAAUGGGAUUAAUAUCAUUGCAUGACAUAGCAAUAUUCCUCUUGCAUUUCGAUUUUUUCUCGCGAUUUCCUUUUUUUUAUAACGUUCUUGAAACAAUGGUUGUUCUAUCCAUCUUGCUUAUGAGGAAUCUGCUAAUACCCCUCCUUUGAGUAGUGAGUACCAACGCUAAUGGAAAAAUACUUUCCAAAACACGAGGAGUAUGAAAAAGACUAAAAAUUAAACGAUUGCGUUAAGAUGUUUCCUCCCUCCUAGCAAAACUGAAGUAUGUUUCUAAAUGUGAACUCUCGUGGAUUGAAUCAACGAUAGUUAUCAAAACAAUGGAUCCUACAUGAACAUUCGAUCCACAAAUGCUCUCCCCAUGCAAUCGAUUAUAUGUUCUCUUUGAUGGAAGUCCCAAAGGCACCGGAAGGUUGCCCUAUUUUGUUGUUGUCGUUCAUUGCCCUAUGUUGUUGUUGUCGCUCAAUUGCUCAGAAUCCUCAAUUGAUUGACCCCUUUAAUCGAUCCAAGUGACGGUGAAUGGCGAACACUAACGCGAAAAGGGUCCUUAAUUUUGAUGGGCAUAGAUCGUGACAAGUUGAAACUUGUCCAUGAUUAUUAAGGUGGUUGAAUGUCCAACCUCUCAAAAAAGAAAUUUGUCCCCGCCUCUCCCUCUCUCUCCCCUCCAUCCCUCUCUUCACGGAGGCAACAGCUGCCCUCCCAACUAAAGGGGACCCCUCCCUCCCUCCCUCGCUCCCAUACAACAAAACCCUAAAAUCUCCUUUUCAAACUACUCCCUUGUCAAAGGGGAAAAAACAGAGCAAACAAAAGCGUGUGGGGGGAGCUUGCUGUGGUCUUUGCUCGUUUGGCAAUGGGCUGUAAAAGUGACCAAAGAACAAAUCAAAUCAUCCCUCCACUCGCCGAGGGGCCCGCUCCCCACUGCAUUAGCUGGUGAUCACUGGCCGAUGCCUCCCUCUCACUGUUAAAAACUGACUUUUAUACAGCAUCAAAAAAGUCUCUCUGUCCAUCCACCGGCAUCGACCGUCCUGUUGAAAUUGAAUGUUGCCCUCGAUGCUCCUCAGCUUUCAAUCAUGGUGAGCACAGUUUCAUCUGAGGUCCUUAGGCCUUUUUUAUUAGAACAGUAAGAUGGGUGAGUAUGGACGUUCAAGGCCGUGAUUGGCUUUGUGGGUUUUGUCGGGUUGUGCAUAGCUCAGAUCAAAUGUCACCUCACUUUACUCGACUCAAUGAUUGAAAAGCCGAUCUCGGUUUCUACUUUUACUACUCUAAUUUCUUCUUUGGACUCAAAGAAGAUGAUUUGGGUUUUUUUUUUUUUUUUGGUAGAUUUGGGUUCAGAUAGUCUAAUUCGAACUCAAGCCGUUUGUGGGUAUGUUCGGCUUGUUUAAGCUUAUAAUGGAUGAGAACAUUAGCAUGAUUAUCAUGUGUAUAAUGAUCAUUAGGGAUUUCUUGGAGUCGAAUGGCCUCGUGGGUUUUGUUGAUUUGUGUAUGGCUCAAAUCAAAUGUCACUUCACUCUGCUCUAGUCAAUAAUCAAAAACCCGAAGAGAAUGAAUUGGGUUCGGAUAGGCUAAUAUGACCUCAGGUCAUUUGUGGGUAUGUUUGGCUUGUAAGUGCUAACAACAUUCGCAUGAUUAUCACGUGCAUUAGUGAUCAUUAGGGAUUUUUUUUUCCCUCCUUUUUCUAUGUAGGGCACACCUUUUGCUCUUUUUUGACUUUGGUGUUAGAGUUAAGAGUAGCAACGUACAAGGAUUAGAAGUGGUUGUCAAUAAUUCAUCAUGCUUUAUAGAAUUGAUGCCCAUAUUAGGGUUUUGGACUCAUGUGUAAUAUGGUAACACCAUUUACAACUAGCUUUCAUUUUCGCGUGUGCAAAUAUUAUUAUAUGAAGUUAGUAGUUAAGCAUGUGCCUAGUUUUUUUAAUCCAAUAAAAAAUUACAAAAAAAAUUGAAAGAUAAAUAACAAUUUGAAAAUUAAUGAUAUGGGAAGAUGGAAAGGAACAAAGAGUACCAUUUUCAUGCAAUCAAUCCAUGGCUAUCUUGUACAGUUAUUUGUUAGCGAAAUUUCUUAUGAGAAUAUUAAGCGUUCACGCUUUUAAAGCCACUUUUGUCAAUCAAAUUUCAUUAUAGGGACAAAUUUGGAGAUUAAAAGUGGGACAUCGAAUUCAAAAGUUCCCUUAAUAGUAGUACUCAUUUCUUAUAGCGCAUGCCUGAUUUGAGAUGGAUCCAGCAGGAAAGGAAAUUAUGGGUAAAAAUUUUCCAAUAUGAGAAUCUACCAUCACAAAAGCAGGAUGUUUGUUAGAUAAUCAUUCGAAGACAACAUCGAAUUUUGAUAGUCAAUUUUAUUAAAUGCUCUCUUCUUUUCUUAUGUUGGAAUGAGAAGAGUGUUUUAAUUCUAUAUAAAAGAAAUGGAUACCAAAUUCGACAAUUGACUUUACACGUGCUAUGGAAAAUACUCAUUAAACACGCUUUUCCUAAAAAUGCUUUUAUUACCAUAAAAAAAUCUAAAAGGCUUCAGAGAAAAAAUAAAUAUCCUGCCGACCAGAUGAUUCAGAUCUGGGGGUAUAAGAUUUAGACUUAAAUUGACUUAAAAUAGCAAAAGAAUGAAUUUAUUGUCUCAAUAAGUCCACAUUGUCCGUGAAGGCAUAGUAGUAUUGACUAGAUUAGUAAGUUGACGGAGUGCUCACCACUACUUAAUUGCUGAUAAAAAAAGGUUAAGAUCCCAAGAUUUCAAAGCUAACAAGAUCCACUUACAAGUUUCACUCAGCCAUGUACAAUAUAAAAAGAAAUAAAAUAAUAUUUAUAUAAUAUAUAUAAAGCGUCUAUCAUGAAAUUUUUACAUCUAAGUAAAAAUUCUAAAUGCUAAAGGAAAUAAAAAAUCAGGGGAUAAAGAAAAAUAGAAAUUUAUCUCAUCUCCUAUCUUCUUCAAGCUUCUACUUCA
Molecule: long non-coding RNA, 59571 nt
Filed under: Eucalyptus grandis
Lineage: Eukaryota; Viridiplantae; Streptophyta; Magnoliopsida; Myrtales; Myrtaceae
Description: long non-coding RNA (EGRA_LNC004328)
Rfam family: tRNA (bases 54387-54470)
Source: RNAcentral